This 49109-nucleotide long non-coding RNA is filed under the name Pelobates cultripes (western spadefoot toad). Lineage: Eukaryota; Metazoa; Chordata; Amphibia; Anura; Pelobatidae. The record is from RNAcentral.
UAACGUUCCUGAAUUUUGUAGUCCUUUACAAUCACUUCAAACCUGAGUGAUUGUUGACUUAAUCUAGGGAAUUUGGGGUUCCUCUAUCUACUAGAUGGGUAAGUAAAUUUGUUUGAAUUUUGAAAUGUGUUACAGAUCUAAUUUUGAGCUAGUGCACUUUCAUUGGUGCAAGUUUCUAUUUUUUUUUUUUUAGUUAAUAUAAGAAUAAGUGGAAUUAGUGUUGCUUUCUCCCCUAAAACAAUUGACAUCCAUAAGUGAUCAGUUCAAUACAGCUUUACUGUAUACAGUCUUAACUUGCUGCUUGGAAAAAAAAAAGUAAUUUUUUUAAUCCAGGAAAUAAGGUUGUGGCCAAUUUUAUAAUAUGACAGGAGGCUUCAUAUUUGCUUAGGUCUCUCUUUACUAGAACUCCACAGCAGCACAUUAACAUAGAGAGAAAAACAUCAAAGACAAAAACAUCAGGAAUCCAUAAAAGGCUUCUCCCAACCAACUAUUUCCUCUUUCUUUGCUGCUUCGCAGUCAGUACAGGUCAGAGUACCACUGCCUCCUGUUUUAUGGGUGGCUGUGUGUUUUAUUAUCAUAUUCAUUGGAGUUACUUGUAACUUGUGCAUUAUUCCUUACAGUUUAGUUACCUGUUUUACUACUUUUAUUCUGUUUGCUUAUGCAGUUUUUCUUAUGCAGUGUCUAUUUAUAUGCCGUUUUGUUUCCCUUGCUUGUGCAUGCUUAGGUGUUUCAUCUGUGUAUUUUUUAUCUGCUUCUUAUUGCCCUUGCUAUCUGUAGACGGUCGCCAUGAAGUGGUCAUUCGACCGCCUCCCGUGCCGAGUGCCGGGACCACGGAGUAAGACUUCGGCGGUCCGAGCAGGAAUCCUCUUCCUGCCUCCCUGUCCUGCCCUCGUCUCCGCUCUUUUUUGGUUCUACCCGAGCGGCGUGGGGAAGGAGCAGGGAGCUGCACUCUUACCGCGGGAGCGUCUGCUCCCGAGCACCCAUCCCCCCACGACCGCGUGGUCAGACACGGGGGUGCGCGGCUCUAGCCCGAGUCCGCCGCGCGUGUCACUCCAGCCUUAAAGGCACGUUGCCCAUUUCUGUUGGGCUGCUCAGCUUACUGCUCAGCCCCCACUGCAUUCUACAGUAUUUCUAGUGCAUGUUUCUGUGUUGCUGCAGGCUGCAGUUAUUCUCACUGCAUGUUUUCUGUAGCCAUGCAUGAUUUCUGUGGACAUUACUGCUUGCUCAGUGCAUGAUUCCUAGGCUAUAAAGUUUUUCUCUAUGCAUUACACCUGCAUGGGACCCUGCUUGGCAUCACUGCCCUCUCAUUGACCUAGGAUUGGUCUGGGGAACCCCUCCUUUUACAUCUCUACCCUGCACACCCUCUCGGUCAAGAUUGUAUCUGCAUGUGUACCAAUGAAGGCUUUACGCUCCUGCCUGCAUAUACCACUGGGCCGGUGCUACCCGUGCCCAUAUACUGGCCUGCUUUGUCUGUGCCCCAUGAUUAGCCUGCUUUGUCUGUGCCCCUGUGAUUGGCCUGCUUUGUCUGUGCCCCAUGAUUUGGCCUGCGCUGUCUGUGCCAUACUACGCAUGCUCCUGGGCUGGUGGUUCUAUACCCUGGACCCCUGUUUAAGCCUGCAUGCACGUACUUCUUGCCUAUGCCAUUAUUAGGGGUGCUGCCCCUAUUGCCUGCUAGUGAUACCUGUCCUCUAUUCCCUUUAGGUAUCACGUUGCAUCACCUCCUGCACUAUGGAUGCCUCUGCACAGGAGCAGAAUUUGCAGGCUGAUUAAUGCGGCUGUGGCCGCCUCUGUGGAGAAGGCCCUGGCUAGGGCCCUCCCUCAACCACAACUGGAACAGGGUGCCAGAGGGAACCCCCGUUUAGCAGACGACUCGGUGGAGUCGGACUCUCAGGAGCAAGGGUAGGCAAGUGCAAUACCGCGCUAUUGGAAGGGUGAAGGCCCUGAACCACGCUCCCGGAAGGGUAAGGCCCCAACGAAGCGUCAAGAUUCGAGGUUAUUAACCUCUCUGGCCAGUCGCCGCCGUUUAUCGGGCGCAGGGGAGGAGGCCUCCUUACCCCCCCAAACUAUGGCCGUACUAGAUGAGUGACGGGCAGACCAGUCCCCCUCAGAGGAGGAGGAUGAUUGGGACGAGGACAGUGGGGAUGGGUCCAAGUGGCGCUGGGAGGAUGAAGACACACCAGCGACAGAGGACCCCACGGCGGCGUUGGGGGAUGAUAUCUUCCUGGAUGCUACAGGAGCGCCUCUGUUUGACCCUCGAUCCAUCCGGCACCUCCAAUCCUCAGACUGGUCACUGCCUGACCACUUGGCACAAUUUGUGCACUACUGGGUACGCAGACCUCUUGAAGGGGAGGUCCGCAAGAUAAACAGCUGGAUAUGCUGGGCCCCCUGUGCAGGAUGUUGGCGCUGGCAGACGAGGCCUACUUGGAAGGUACGGCCCUGGAACCAGCCACCAUGCGAGAUGGGGCUUUACGAUCCAUUUGCCUGCUGGGCAAUGCUAAUGCAGCCCUCUCCAUGGAACUCAGGAAGGCAGUCCUGCUCCGUAUGGACAGCAAACUGUCAGAGCUGGAGUCAAAAGAACUGGGCCCCAUGGCUAAGAGCCUGCUAUUUGGGGAGCCUUUCAUCAAGGAGCUGCACAGACAUGUUAAUCUGUUCACCUCCCUGGACAAGGCCCAGUCCUCCAUGAAGAGGGUCUUCCGGAAACAGACAUCCCGGGUUUUUGGAAUGGCUGGACGACAGUGGGGUCGUGCCUCCAGCCGCAGCUGGUCUUCGGGCCGCCAUAGAUCCCGUGGACCAUCCUUCUUCCCAUCAUACCAAUCCAGACCUUUCUACACUCAGAGGUCGGAUAGGGGUCGAGUGAAUCGUGCAAGAUUCUCAGCAGAUGAGAACUACUCCUGCCAUUUCUCCCUUUCCCCUACUGCAUGCGGGCAGACUGUUUCACUGCAGGGACAGUUGGCGGGAGGUGUCUUCAGAUGCAUGUGUCCUUCGGACCGUUCAGGGAUAUGUCAUAGACUUUCACUCCCCUUCGGUACAAGUCGGACCCCCAAGGGUUCCCGUCAUCUCAAGGGAACAAAACAGGUCCUGAUAGAUGCGGAAAUCCGGACUCUGUUCAACAAGGGCGUGGUCCAAUGGGCCCCGGACACAAAGGGUUUCUUCAGCUCGAUCUUUCUUGUGAGGAAAAAGUCCAGAGAAUUCCGUCCAGUAAUCAACUUGCGGGAACUGAACGCCUUCGUGGUCUACCACCACUUCAAGAUGGAGGGCAUCCAUCUUCUGCGGGACCUUCUCCAGCCAGGAGACUGUUUAUCCAGACUGGACCUGAAGGACGCUUACCUCCCCGUCCCGUGGACGACGAAUGUCGCAGAUUCCUCCGUUUCCUUUGGAAGGGCAGCCCAUGCCAAUUCACUUGUCUUCCCUUCGGCCUCAGCUCGGCUCUGUGGUGCUUCACCAACCUCCUGAAGCUGGUGGUUGCUCAACUCAGGGCAGAGGGCGUCCGUUGUAUAAUAUACUUAGACGACUUGUUGAUCUUCUGCGAGGACCCGUCCAGACUCAAGUGUCAGACACACUCUGCGGUCUCCUUAUUCGAACGCCUGGGGUUCGUAGUCAAUCUGGAGAAGUCAGCUCUCGACCCUUCCCAGACAGUGGAGUUCUUGGGUUUCAAGGUGGAUGCAAAAGACUGCGUUCUACGUCUGACUCUGACCAAGAUAACGACCAUUCGGAAGGAGAUAAGGAGGAUCCUACGGCAAGACCGGAUCCCCUUCGAAUGUUAGCUUGUGUCUCGGCUCUAUACAGGCUAUCUACCCAGGCCCGCACCACUACAGGGCCAUGCAAUGGCUGAAGGCUUGUUUUUUAUGCAGGAGGCCCUCUUACAACCAGUUGAUUCCCCUGUCCCCGGACGUGAAGACCGAACUGCGCUGGUGGCUCCUGCACAUGUCAGCCUGGAAUGGCAAGACGAUAUUCGGACCAACACCGGACUUCGUGCUAGAAUCGGAUGCGAGUCUGUGGGGCUGGGGUGCCACCUGCGCGACCGGAUCCACGGGUGGCCCGUGGUCGAACACGGAAUCUGAGUUCCACAUCAAUUGCCUGGAAUUGGAUUCAGAGCCUGGCAAACCAUCUCUUGGACUGCUGCAUCCUCCUUCGGAUGGACAAUGUCUCAGCGGUACUGUACAUCAACCGCUUGGGGUGCGCUCGUUCUCGAACACUGUUGGAAGUGACCAAGGAGAUUUACAGCUUCUGUUUCCAAUGCAACAUCACCCUACAAGCAGAAUAUCUUCCCAGGGAAUCGAAUCUGAUGGCGGACUGGUUCUCCAGACAUUGGAGGGACACCAGCGAUUGGAAGCACCUUCAGCCCAUCUUCCUCGAACUCGUGAAUCAGAGGGGCCCAUUCCCGGUGGAUCUAUUCGCCUCCAGGACGAAAUACCAGAUCCAGACUUACUUCAGCUGGCUCCCGGACCCAGCGUGCUCGGCGGUGGAUGCCUUUCUCCAGGUGUGGCCUUCGCAGGGAACGUAUGCUUUUCCUCCGUUCGCUAUGAUUCCCAGGGUGUUGCUACAAGUUCAACGUCAACGUGUGUCCUUGGUGUUGCUGACUCCGCAGAGUCAAGCCUGGUUUCCGGAGCUCCUGGAUCUCUCCCAUCGGGAUCCUCUGCUCUUACCGUCCCCUCGAAUGCUCCUCUCGGACUCCCGGGGCAACCCGCACCCCCUAGUGAGGGACGGCCACCUGCACUUGGUGGCCUGAACUCUUUCAGGUGUACCUGGAAUGUCGAGGCGUUAUCGCAAUCGGCUAAAGACCUUCUCUGGAAUUCCUGGGCUCCCGGGACGAGGAGAUGCUAUCUCUCAGCAUGGGGUUCCUGGUGUCGUUGGUGCCUGGAACGGGAUACUGAUCCCUUUACAGGCCCUGUAACUAGCAUGCUGAACUUUUUGUCUCACCUCUCCGACUUGGGACGAUCGUAUAGCUCGGUUAAUGUGGCUAGGUCAGCUAUCUCAGACGCAUGUCCCGCUUAGAAGUUUUCCCAUCGGCCAGGAUCCGCUAGUCUGCAGACUUCUUCGUGGGAUGAGGCUGGCACGUCCACCGGUGCCUAAGUACUCCUCCCUCUGGGACAUUCGUUCGUUUUUAGCGUUCCUUUGGGAUUGGCUGGAUAACCAGGACCUUUACCUUUGCCAGCUUUUGGCCAAAUUUUCCCUCUUAUUGUGUCUGGUCUCAUUCAGUUUCUGAUGUCCGGGCCUUUGAUGUCGACACUUUCGCAUUCUCUCCGGAGGAGGUCACCUUCAAGGUGGUUAGACGUACCAAGUCGGAUUCAACGGCUGUGUUGUACCCUUACUUCAGGGAUUCGCCUAAACUCUGUGUGGCGAAGGCACUAGCUUCGUUAUGUAGCGGUUACCACUCCACUUCGCUCUUCUCAUUCUGGCCAGUUGUUGAUCUCAUAUGUCAGACCCCAUAAACCGGUCUCAUCCCCUACCCUGGCUCGAUGGAUAAGAUGGUUAUUGACACUGGUGGGGGUGAAUGCGACCUUCGGAGCGCAUUCAGUUAGAGGCGCCGCAGCUUCUGGAGCUUUCAUGGCAGGAGCAUCCCUUCAGGACAUUUUGCGUUCGGACUGGUCCCGUGAAGAUACUUUUCGCCAAUUCUACUUUAGACCAUCAGACCAUGCUUCUUUUGCUUUGCUGUCAGAGCGUUAAAACAGCAAAUAUGAAGCCUCCUGUCAUGUUAUAAAAUUGUAGAUAAUACUAGCUUUAGUGUAACUAUAAUCUUAAUUUUAUUAAUGACAGGAGGCGAAUAUUUCCUGCCUGUUUUUUUCUUCCCCCCCCCCUUGUUUGGAUUGAUUGUUUUGACUGAUUUUCUGUUUAUUUGCCUGGUCUCCUAGGCUAGAUUUGGUAAUCUGAGGUGAUAUCUAUGGAAGUUGGGGGGGUAUCUGGUAUAUUGUAUUGCUGGUAGUUGAUGAUGGGAUUCAUGUUAUUGUACUAUCAGUACUGGAUGAUGGGAUUCAUGUUUUCUCAGUACAUUUCGUUCACUAAUCAGUGUUUUCGACUCUGUUUAUUUCGUUUCAGUUUAAUAGUUCGACUACAGUUCAUAGAACCGACUGUCUUGCAGGAUGAAGAUCAAGAUCCCAUCCAUUCUUCUAAGUUUUCUUCCAGAUGGCAAUCAUCGUUAUGUUAUGUUUGUUCUUCCUUUAAUUUGUUUAUUGGCAUUGUUAUGUACCUUAUUUUGUUGCAGCGUGAAAGAGGAAAUAGUUGGUUGGGAGGAGCCUUUUAUGGAUUCCUUAUGUUUUUGUCUUUGGUGUUUUUCUCUCUAUGUUAAUGUGAUGCUGUGGAGUUCUAGUAAAGAGAGACUUAAGCAAAUAUUCGCCUCCUGUCAUUAAUAAAAUUAAGAUUAUAGUUACAUUAAAGCUAGUAUAAUCUACAAUUCUAAGCUUCAAAACUCAGAGGACAAACACUUUGACACCACACGACUCAAGUUGAAAACCCUCAUAUUAUACCAUAUAAUGUUGAGGCGACUGACAACUGAGGCUUUUUUUCCCACAAUCUAACUUAGUGUAAAUCUUGGUAAUCGUGCCCUUUAGCAACAAAAAUGUCUCAAAAUCAUAUGGAAGCACCACAGGAAGAUGCCACAGCAUAGAUGGCUGAAAGACCCGAAGGAGAGAGAGCCAUGGUAAAUAUCAGUUAUGCCUGCCUCACAAGCCUACAUGGUGACAAGUAUGUGCUGCCUUCAGUUUGUGGCCUUUUGAAAGCCAUAAACAUUCCUCCCAUGCUGGCUGUAUGUUGGGGGGGCUUCUCCUGAGCCAGGCAUGGUCUUGCAAAGGUUCAAUCUGCUCAAUCCAUGGUAAACUUUCAAGCCCAAAGGCAUGGUCCAACUGGCAGCUCUUAAAGGACCACUAUAGUGCCAGGAAAACAUACUAAUUUUCCUGGCACUAUAGUGCCCUGAGGGUGCCCCCACCCUCUUGAAAAAAAGCCCUGUUGGGGCUGAAACGUUGCUUUGUAGUUCCUGGUUCAAAUAAAUUGCCUUAAGAAUUGGAAACUAUUGGAGUGCCUUGAUCAUUUUCUACAAAUUUACCUCACAGUAAAGGUCUGGUCAUCAGCCUACUCCUUUGCUUGGCAGUCCCAUCUUGUGUCUGGGUAAAACUCCUAGCGUGUCAGCAAUUCCAUGUUAAGUCAGGGCCCAGUUCCAACACUGUGCUUGACUGUUAGCCUUCCACUUCACAUUACGGACACUGAUGUUGUCAGUUUUUACGAGCUUCUCAGAGGAUUUGUGUUGUAGAAUCCUCAUGGUGUGACGCCGCUUCCGAUUGACAGUCUUCCGCCUAUGCAGUGGCUUGCAGCCCUCGCAGGCCCUUGAUAAGCGGGGCAGGAGCGUGGUUGGCUACCAUCCAGCCCUAGUAUCUCACCCCUGCUAUCUGUUCUCAGUGGCUGCGGAGGGGAGGUAGCCAUUCUCUAUUCCAGUCAUGCCCAAAAGCUUUCGAAUAUAGCGCCAGCUUUAACAUGUAGUAACUGUGGAAGUCCUGCAGCGAUGUGGCGUGCAUCUCCACAGAAACUCCCUCUGCCAUCUUAGAAAGCAUCUCAAUUAGGUAGUAGGAGAUUUCCUCUACAGCAGGGUUAGCCGCUCAUGAUAGUCCAGAAGGAUAACCUCCCCCCCCCCAUCUGUGGAGAGUAUCCGUCUCUCGUAGACCACAAAUCCUCGAGUUGGGCAAAUUGGAUGCGGAGAAGCUCAAUUAAGGUAUCUCCAGUGUCACCGUCGCCUCCUUAAAGGGACACACCUUGCACCCAGACCACUUCAGUCAAUUGAAGUGAUCUGGGUGCCAACUCCCAUCACCCUUAAACCUGCAAGUGUAAUUAUUGCAGUUUUUAUAAACUGCAAUAAUUACCUUGCAGGGUUAAGUUCUCCUCUAGUGGCUGUCGAUCAGACAGCCACUAGAUGGACUUGCGGGUUCUUUUUUUUUUUAACCUACCACAUUUCAAAAUUAUGAAGUUGUAUUUCACUAACUAAACACUAAAAAAUACAACUUAUGCAAGUCUGCUUUUUCUUUUAAACACCAAAAAAACGUGUGUUGUGAUGAUCAUUCAGUGGGGAUUUACAUUUAAAGAGGAAGUAAAACAUAUAACAGAUUCAUUUUCACCCAGGAUAAUAUUGUUAGCUUAAGCUGUUGUUUUGACUGGUACAUGUGGAUAAGGCAAACACCUUUUGUCUAAAAACAUCUGGGGUUCUAGAGGGGCAGGCAAGCCCUGGGGCUGAAAUCAACGAGCAGCUGUUAAAGCGCCUUUUGUGGCUCAACACAGUGAGCAGAAACAGAUUGACUGAUAUACAGUUUGCUCUGAAUGUUUGUAUGAUCUACUAUGCUAGGCCAAGCUUAGCUUGAAAAAAUAUUUGUGGCAUUUGCUAUAAUCCAGCCAACCAUUCCUUUUCCUUGACCUGCCUCUUGUGGGGAACCAGGAAUGUAAGAAAUUUUUACUGCAUGUUUCUGCUCAGCACAUUUUCUUCUCUAAUUUGCACUUGCUCAAUCCUAAACCAUCCUGUGGGCAGAGGUUUCGAAAAAGUUCCAAAAUAAAACAUGUAUUGCAAGAUCUUUCGCUCAAUAACAUUUUGUAACAAAACAAGUUACCUUAAUCAGGGUCUACCAUCACCGAUAGAUGAUUAGAAAAAAUAUUUACGGCAGAAAAUAAAUGAGAAGUCAUUUUACUUUAUUGGGUAGUUUAAAAAUGUUUUGCAAUUUUCAACACUUUUAAACUGUUUUAAAGGGAUCAUGCCCGAUAACCACUGUAUCCUGCUGCAAUGGUUAUGGUGCCAGGUCAUUUCCUCAAGAAGCAGAUCCAGGAUUGCGCUCAGCUGACAUGCUCAGCCAAUGAGUGAAUUCUGCAUUGCAGUGGAGUAGCUAGACCUUUUGCCACCAGGGGUGGUCCCUGAGUUUGCUGCCCCUCCAUCACUAAGGUGCAGCCAUGCCAUAAGGAAUACUGGGAGCAGGGAUAUAACAUGAUUCAUAUCCCAGUCCCCACCACCUAGCCUGCGGCAUGCUCCAGAACCGGUGGAACGGACAGAGGAGCUGGCGGAGCUCUGCCACGUUAUAUGAACUGACCAUCGGGAGAUGAGCGCUAUGUGGUUCCCUUCCUCCCAGUCAAUUGGACAUUGAGCCCCUUGGGUGCUAAUAAGGGCUGGACAAAGUGUUAUUUAUCACCCCUGUGCACUGACAAGCGCUAUCCACAGCCACUGUAUCAGGAGGAACGUGUCGAUUCACACUUUAACCGAGGGGCAGAUCCAGAACCCAAUCUCGGGAGGGGCACUGAAUGCUUAAAAUUGGUGUGCGUGUAUAUAUAUAUAUCGGCAUUUCGACCCAUUUGGGUCUUUCUCAAGAUGUUGAUAUGCAACUGAAUUAAACACAGUUAUUGAAAAAAAGUCCUACAAGUGCACCCUUUUGUCUAUUCGACAUAUAUCAACUUGGGUUUGCACCAAGGCAAGGUGGACUUGUACAUUGAUGUUACUGCAAAUUAAAAUGCGAAUUCAAAUUUAAGCUAAACAUUUGAAGACAUUUUUUAACGGCACUAUUGCCACAGCUUGGAUAUUUUAGCCUUAAUUUUGCAAUUCUGCUUUUAAUUUACUAGAAAUCAGAAUUUAGUAAAGACCCUGUGUGUGUGUUUGCAUUUCUGCAGGGCUCAUUAAUAUACUUAUUGUUACUGAGUUCUUGGAGGGGCCUGCUUGACAGCCUCCUGCCCACAGACUAUUGGCCCUGCAGGAAACCUGUAAAAGACUACCGAACUUGACCGAUUGUUAGCACUGAUUUCCCUGGAACUGUUUUGGGCAUGAUGCCAUGCUUGUGGUCAGUCAAAACUAUGACUUCCAGGAAAUUCCUGAACCCCUGAACCGAUCUGGGUGAUUUUUGGAUAUGUUGUUCACCCAGAUCGGGGCUAUCAGGGAAUGUGACUAUGUGGUUUUGUGUGUUUUUAAGGUACUUUUUGGGGUUUCAUAAUAUUGUGUAUUUUUUUUCUGUGCUUGGUACUAGAACAGGAUUAUUUUUGCCUAUUGCAAAGGGUAACGCCGCCUGUCUCUGACAUGAUGGGGCUUAUUGAUGGUAUACCACCGGGAGCGUUGAAUUUUAUCCCUUUUAUGUCGGUGGGUCUCCAGUUCUGUUUCAGCUUAUGGAGGUCUCUUGUGGUCCAGGGUGCUCUCCUCUCUUUUUAUGGACAGAAAUACUCUCCAAAGCAUACAUUUUAGUAAAAAACUGUAAUAUCCAGCUGUUCCUCAAGAAGACUGCCACUAAGAACAUGGAGCAGUUGGGCCUCAAAAAAUCUUGGAUUCUGGCUAGUUCACUUAAUGUUUUUGACUCAACUAGACCCUGCCACAUCUUCAUACAACAAAAGGUUUUAAAACUUUUAUAAAUUUAUCAUAUAUAAUAACAAAACUACCACAUAUUUUUAUCUUGGCGAACUGAUUAUCUGGUCGUACAACAGAUUAUCCAGUUCAACAGAUUAUUCUCAGUUCAAGUUUAGCUUCAUAUUUAUUCAACAUGUAUAAUUUAUUAUAAAAAAAAGUAUUUCUUCCCUUUCCUCCUUACUUUCUAUUUUAUAUACAUGCAUUUUAGAUAUUUUUGUUGCUUAACGUCUCUUAAGGGCUUAAUUUGCUUUGUAUUACUUUAUAUCAAUCACUAUGCACAACCAUUAUUCAUUUCAGGUUUUGCCAUAUGGGACUUCCUUACAGAGGAAUUCAUUAUGUAUUAUUAUAUUUCUGCACACGGUAUCUUACAAAAUUAGAUUUUCCCUCUGGAGGACACUUAACAUGAGGAACUCUAGCUUUACAUUCAAGUGUUAUGAUCAUGUGAUAAUAAUUUCAAGGAAUAAUUGUCCCAAACCUCUAAUUGUUUUCAUGUUUUAUGAGCUUAAUUGUUUUGUUUAAUUUGAUCUUUUCUAACUUUGGUCUCAAUUUAAUAUUGUUGGGUAAGCUUUUCUAAUAAUUUGGAUGUUGAUAUUAUGUAUCUAUUUUGUAGUGCCCUAAUUGGCACAUUUAUGCACCCUUUUGGUUUGACUGAUUCAUUUCCAGAAUCAGUUUUUCAUUACAGAAAUUACGCUAAGCCAUACCAACAUAUGGACAAAUAUCGGAAGUAAUAAUUUUAUUUGAUUUUUGGAAAAAAUGGUUUCACAAAAACAAAGUUUAUCAACAUCCUACUAUCGAGGCUGUUCCUGCGUAUUGCUGUGUUCUGUUUGUUACUUAUGCUAUACUGUUCCCAUAUUUUAUGUAUCUGUAUUAUUAUUACUAUACAUGCAUAUAUUUAUAUUUUAGGGACUAAAAACUGUGUUUUAAAAUGUUCAUGUGGAAAAAGCAUAUUUGCUCUCCUUUCUUCACUUUUCUGGUCCCCCUAACCUUUGCUCCUGCCAACAGUAUAUUCAGAAAUUGUUGGUGUCUCCUUUCAUUUCACUCUAAGUCUGCACCCCAUCUCUCCUGUGAAAUACACUAAAUCGUAUUGUCUUCAUUCUUCCAUUAUAGCAUGAUUCUUCAAGUUCUUGAAAUCCUUCCAAAUUACCAUUUUUAACUGCUUCAUAACCUGACGGUUCUUCCAAUUGCCCAUAAAAUUCUCUAGUCGUUGACUUCUGUUCCCUUUUCUCUCAACUCACUGUUAUAACAUUUAGAUUGUAAACUCAUAUAAAAACAAAUAGAUUUUUCUAUAUUGUACUCUUGGUUAUUUGCCUAGAUUUACAGUGCUUUAUAAAUAAUAAUAAUAACAACGGUCAACUGAAAGCCAGUAUUGAACAGUAAUUAAUCUAACACAAACAUAACUGCACUUCUUUGCUGUAGAGAAUACCGUUAACAUCUUUGGAGAUCUACUGUUUUGAUUAAUUUUCCCUAUGAUCUUGGUUUAGCAGCAUACUAAAUAAAUACAGCCAUUAAGGUAGCUCUCCUGCAUUAUACCUGAACAGUUAAUUUUGUAUUCAGCUUGGUGGCUUACAAUUAUUUUUUAAAGUUACGUUUAAGGGGACACUAUAGUCACAAAACAGCUUCAGCUUAAUGAAGCAGUUUUGGUGUAUAAAUCAUGCCCUUGCACUAUCACUGCAUAAUUCUCUGCUUAAAUAACUUUGUUGGUACAUCCCUAUUAACAUCCCCUUGCAUGUGACUUGCACAGCCUUCCUAAACACUUCCUGUAAAGCGGCAUCUAAUGUUUACACUUCCUUUAUUGCAAAUUCUGUUUAAUUUAGAACGUUUUAUCGCCUGCUCUGUUAAUAGCUUGCUAGACACUGCAGGAACCUUCUGUAUGUAAUUAAAGUUAAAUGUACAGAAGUAAGUAACAUCAUAUUGAAAAUUAACACAUUUUGUUUUCAUGCAGGUUGUGUCAGUCACAGCCAGUGUUUGUGCUAGGGCUGCAUGUACAGAAACAAAAGUGAUUAAACUCCUAAAUUUCAGAGAAUUUAGCAAUGAGACUUCAAAGGCAUGACCUAUACAUUAAAAAUUGCUUUAUUAAGCCACAUAUCUUUUGGUGACUAUAAUAUCACUUUAAAGUUAUUUUAUAUUUUUCUAGAUGUCUCUUUUUGUGGGACUAGGUAUCCUACAGAUACCCAUGAAGUUAUACGAGAGAACUGCUAAAAGAACAUCCAAGCACCAUAACCUCAACAGCAUGCUGAAAACGUUAUGGUGCCAGAAGUGUCCUGGUGCCCCUCUCAAGCUGUUUGCUAAUGGUGUGACUUCUAACCUGGUUCGGACUUCUAACCUUGGGUCCACUAGGCACUGUUUCCUGCUUCAAUGCUUCAAUGGGACCUAAAAGCUCUCAGCUUUUGGCUAAGCCCAGCAGUUCAAUACAUUGGUUGUGAUAGAUUAGCUGAAUCUCCUAGCCAAUGAGCUGGCCCUGCACCUCAGGGAUUAGUUAAUGAGAGCUCAUGGAAGCUUCUAGUAGGAAAUCCAACUCUCAAUACCAGAGGAAAAGAGGCACCAGGUGAAUCCCAGUAAAAAUUCAACCAUUAGCAAACAUUUUGACUGCUUACAGUGGGGGCCUAUUUUACAGAGACAAUUCAAUUAAACGCAGCAUACUUUUUAAAACAUGUGUAUGCAUCACAUACAGGAGCAGACUGGCCAAUCAGGGCCAUUGGUCAUGGACUGGGAGCCUGAGGCAGUCAGCGGCCCCCAAUGGCACUCUGCAAGUUGCUCCCCACCGUGAGUAAGACUUGACAGUGGUCUUGCUUUUCUUGUCAGGCGUCCUCGUUGAUAUCCCUUUGUUGCCAUGCUCUCUCCUCUUAUGUAGAUCACUCUUUUGGACUGUAAGCAUUAUGAGAGGAGUAGCAGCCUGGCAGAGAUACCAGGUAAGAAGAUUGAAAAUUAUUUAGAAAGGAAAAUUAGGGCUAAUGGAAAAACAUGGAUUGGAGGUGAAAAGGGCAGAGGCACAUGUGGGAUGCAUGGGGUGAAAUCGGACUGAGGCAUGCAGGUUGUAAUAGAAAGACAUGUACGGUUGAAGGGGAGAAGCACAAAAUUAAGGGACUGGGUUAGAAAAUUGUGCCAAUGAUGGCAGAGAAGUGUGGAUGGAGAAUAUUCAGGGUAGAGUCUGCAACAGCUGCAUUUGGCAAUUAGUACUUUCCAUAUAAGUCUAGACAUAUCAUUCAUGACUCCAUUGACCCCAGCUUCAGAACAUGCGCCUUUCGCCCGAAAAGAACCAAUGUGACAUUGCUGGAGGCAGAUCAAGUGCCUGCAUGGAUUCUAUAUUGGCGCUGGAAAAGGUAAGUAAUACUCCUUUUCCAUUUCUUAUUUAGAUUAUGUAGGUGCUAGGGGUGGGCCACUUAAUUUAACCCAGUCCUCAAGUAUCCUCAAGUAACAAUCCAGGAUUUAGGGAUUACCCAGUUAUGUCUAAGGUGUUUUUAGAAAGAAAGAAAGAAAGAAAGAAACACUUUCGACACUACAGGGUACUCCCUAAAUCCUGGCCUGCCAUGUGAUACUUGAGGACUGGGUUUGGAUUUCCUGGUCUAAGGAAUGCAAGUUUGUAUUCUUACCACUAUAGUGUUCCUUUAAUGUUUAUGGGGCCCUGAGCAAAAGUGAAAAGAAAGUCCUGCAUGAUUACUUUCUAAAAAAAUAUGCAAAGUAUUUCACAUAGUUUUGCUAUCAUACAACCUUUCAACAAUGAAUACAGUUAUUAUAUGCUUCAGGAGCACUGCUUUAUCUAAAAUGAAAUAUGGCUGGAUCCAGUCACCUGUUAUCACAUUGCUUACAUUUCACAGAAACUAUACUCUCUUUAGUCCAGACAGUCACUAUCUCUUUCUUAUAUGCAAGGUUCAAAGUAAAGCACAAUUUCUGGGAGGUCUGUGAUAAAUGUGUCAAUAUAUGAAAAGCCUUUUAAAAUUUCAAAGGGAUACAAUAAGAUAUAAAUAAUUAAAUAUGGUGUGUAUGAAUGCAAAGAAAACAUUGCACUGUGAAUUUUAAGAAAAAUUAAACAAUUCUAUAUUGAUUUUAUCAUUAAAAAACAUGAGAACAUCUUACAGUGCAGGUAAUUAAAGCUAACUACUGCUUAAUUUGUUUCCUUUGCAAAGUCAUGAGACAGAUAGAAUUCAAAGUCAUGAGACAGAUAGAAUUCAAAGCUGAGUUGUGAUAUAGGGGUUAAAGCGACAUGAGUGCAGAUAAGACACAAGUUUGAUAGAAAAUAGACACCAAUCUCACACAGGGUCGUAAAUAUAUUGUGAUCUUCCCACAAGAUAUUUACGACAAAUUCUAUAUGUUGCCUUUGCUCAAAAAUGCUUUAGACUUGAGAAAGGGUGGUGCUCCCAAAAGCUUGUCAUUACAACAUUAUGUUAGUUCAAUAAAAAAGGUGCAAUAUUAUUAUUAUUAUUAUUGCCAUUUAUAUAGCGCCAACAGAUUCCGUAGCGCUUUACAAUAUUAUGAGAGGGGAUUUAACUAUAAAUAGGACAAUUACAAAUAAACUUACAGGAACAAUAGGUUGAAGAGGACCCUGCUCAAUCGAGCUUACAUUCUAUAGGAAGUGGGGUGUAAAACACAGUAGGACAGGAAUUUGCAAUCAAUUAAGGUGGGCUGCCCUUUAGGAGAGGGCAAGAGACAGGUAUGUGAGGUAGGGGUUAGUCUUGGAGGCCAUAAGCUUUCCUAAAGAGAUGAGUUUUUAGGCACUUCUUAAAAGAUGCAAGACUAGGGGAGAGUCUGAUGGUGGGAGGCAGGCUAUUCCAUAGGAAGGGAGCCGCCCGCGAGAAGUCCUGCAAGCGCGAGUUGGCCGUACGGGUGGGCAGAGCGCAGAGACCGAGAAGGGACAUACCUAUGUAUCUGUGAGGAGAUAUAAGAGGGGCUAGAGUUGUUCAGUGCUUUAUAGGUGUGAGUUAGUGCCUUGAAUUGACUCCUAUAGCACACAGGAAGCCAAUGACUGGCAGAGGGGUGAGGUGUGAGAGAACCGGCUAGAGAGGAAAAUCAGUCUAGCAGCAGCGUUCAUUACAGACUGUAGGGGUGCAGUACAGCUUUUGGGAAGACCAAGCAGGAGAGGGUUACAAUAAUCCAUGCAGGAAAUUACUAGAGCAUGGACAAGCUCCUUGGUAGUAUCUGGUGCAAGAAAGGGGCGGAUGCGGGCUAUGUUUUUAAGAUGGAAUCUACAGGAUUUGGCAACAUGCUGGAUGUGAGGCUCCAAGGUGAGACCAGAGUCAAGUAUGACGCCAAGACAGCGCGCUUGCAAGGAUGGGCUGAUGUUGGUACCACAAACUUGAAGGGAGAGCGAAAGAGGAGGAUCAGUAUUAUGAGGAGGAAAGACAAGGAGCUCAGUUUUUGAGAGAUUGAGUUUCAGAAAGCGGGAGGACAUCCAUUCAGAGAUGGAAGAAAAGCAAGCAGUGACACGUUGCAGGACAGCAGGGAAGAGGUCCGGGGAGGAGAGAUAUAGCUGGGUGUCAUCAGCGUACAGGUGGUAGUGGAAUCCAAAUGAGGUAAUAAGUUUGCCAAGAGAGGCAGUAUAAAGAGAAAAUAGAAGGGGACCAAGAACGGAGCCUUGGGGGACUCCAACCGAGACAGGGCGAGGGGAGGAGGUAUCAUUAGAAAAAGAGACACUGAAUGAGCGUUGGGAGAGAUAAGAGGAAAACCAUGAGAGGACAGAGUCACAGAGACCAAGCGAUUGCAGAGUUUGAAGAAGGAGAGCAUGAUCAACGGUGUCAAAGGCCGCUGAGAGGUCAAGAAGAAUUAGUAUGGAGUAGUGGCCUUUGGAUUUAGCUGCGAUUAGGUCGUUAGUAACUUUGAUAAGGGCAGUCUCUGUAGAGUGGAGAGGGCGGAAGCCAGAUUGAAGGGGGUCAAGGAGAGAGUUGGAAUUGAGGAAAUGAGACACACGGGUAAAGACAAGUCUUUCCAGAAGCUUUGAGGAAAAAGGGAGCAGGGAUAUGGGACGGUAGUUAGAGGAGGUGGACGGGUCGAGGGAUGUUUUUUUUAGUAUAGGUACUACAGUGGCAUGUUUAAGGUCAGCAGGGACGAUGCCAGAAGAGAGCGAGCAGUUGAAGAUGUGUGUUAGAGAAGGCACGAGACAAGUGGAGAGAGAUCUGAUAAGGUGAGAUGGGACAGGAUCGAGGGGGCAAUAUGAAUUUUAUCUGUUUUUUACAUAUAUUUUAUAAAUAUACAAUAAACAAUAUAUAUAUAUAUAUAUAUAUAUAUAUAUAUAUAUAGUGUUCAAGUAGAGAUUGUAGCCGUAUUAGUCCAGUGAUGUAGAUGUAAAAAACAGAUAAAAUUUGUAUCUUGUAAUACCUUUUUUUAUUGGACUAACAGAAUUUUUUAAUGACAAGCUUUCGGGAGAACCUCCCUUUCUCAAGUCUUGAGACUUGAGAAAGGGAGGUUCUCCCGAAAGCUUGUCAGUAAAAGACUUGAGAAAGGGAGGUUCUCCCGAAAGCUUGUCAUUAAAAAAUUCUGUUAGUCCAUAUACACAACUGGGAGAAAUCAGGUCCAGGCAAGAGUUUUUUGGAAUUGUCUCCAACCCACUGCUCAGCUGCAGAUAAUCAGCUGUAGCAGUGGGAAUAAACCCCUCCCUGCUAUGCAGGUAAAGGGGAGAUUGCUGGCUUCCUCCCUGGAAGCAGGUUGGAGCGACGCUGUUCUCUCCUGUGAGAGAGUCAAGGAGACUGAGCACUGGGAGUGCAAAAGGAAAGCAGUCAAGGCUGGCUUGGAGCACUGGGAGUGCGGAAAAGAGAGAGAAUUCUGUUUAUUUCUAGAAGGAAUGGAAGCCACAUGUUAACCGAGUGUGGAGUGCAGAGAUCUAGGUUGGUGAACCCAAACAUUAUUUUGUUCUAGUUUAACCCCUGAGAGAGAGGGAAUCUGAUGUUAGUUAGUGCUCAGACGAGCUAGGCUUUUGUUUAUAGGGAUUUGUGUUAUUGUUGGUUUUUUUUUUCCAUUUGCUGCUGUAACUGUGGUGGAGUUUAACAAUAAAGCUGCCUGGAUUACAUGAAAACCAAAGGACUGUGCCUGUUGUUUACCCUAGAGGACCGUGCUAUCUGCAGACAAGGAUCACAAUAUGGUGGAGAAUGCGGGCACUGUAGCACAUUGAGGGUCUGUAGGCAACCGCUAUACAGCAAGGCACAAACCGUUUACUGACUGCACAGGUUAAGAACCUGAGGGACGCUCAGCAGGAGAAUAGAGCUGCCCUUACUGAGGUUUUGAAGAUUGCCCCCUGCAGGGAGCAUGGGGACAAGGGACCUCGUAACCAAGCUACUGACAUCCUGCAUAAGAUGACAGAGGCAGUAGAAGAAGUCUUUAGCAAGCUGAAAAGCAUGGAGGAAGCAAAGCGUGAUGUUGAAAAACACGCAGGAGAAAGAAUGACUGUGACUGAGGCCAGCAGUGUCAAGUCAGUUUGUGCUAUAAAGAAUGAGACAAGUAAAGCUAGUGAAUACAGCCAGGGAAAGAAAAAUGAAACAGAAGCCCUUAAUGUACACCCACGUGAACAAGUCAAAGGCAUGAAAAGCAGACUGACUUGGGGAGUCAGAGAAGACAACCGUAAAGGAGCUGAGCUUAACAGAGAGAAGCAAAGCACCCCAGUUGAGUAUAGCAAUGCGGUGCACUGUUUAGUAGUCGAAGCUACCCAAGAAUGUCGACCAGCUGUUGAGCAGUUUGGCAGAGAAAAGCAAGGCAGAGAAGCUGUGGCAAAAUGAAGUCAAAAAAAGAAAGGCAAAGUAGCCGCUUCUGAUCUAAGCCAAGAGAGAGUGACAGUUACAGAACUAAGCUGUGGUGAUAAGAUAGGCACGUCCGCACCUAAGCCCGACCAAGGCGAAAGUUACAAAGUAGAUGACAUUGGCGUAGCAGAACGAAAUAUUUCCGAGACACCUGGUAUUGUUACAAAGACUUUGAAUGAUUGUCCGGGAGCCGUAGAACUGGAUCUGCUGGCAAAGACAACUGCUGCAAGGCCUGGGCGCACUGACUACCUGGAACAGCUGCCAGAUUCUGGGAACCCAGUCAUGGAAUUAAAGGCGGGGCUCAGACUUCCUGACCGGCUGUUUGAUACCAGGGCUGUCAUGACCCAGCGAGAGGCCAUGACGGCGUCUCUGGACACCCCUGAGGGAGCAGGGAGACCGCCAGACAGCCCAGAGGAAAGCAUUGCUGACAUUGAGAGGUGGCCACUCAAGGCCGAGCAAGCAGAGGAUACCCCUGGGGAGGAAACCAGGCAAAGGAAAGAUGAGCUAAGCCGGGAGUCUGGGCCUCCAGCACAAGAACAGCGCUCCAUACGAGACCAGACUGAGAAACUCAAAUGCUUCAACUGCCACAUGCAAGGACAUAUUGCAUAUAACUGUCCUGAGAAUAAAGAGCCAAUACAAUGUGACAUAGGAAUAAGGGCUCUGCAUAGGAUUGUAUUGACCUUCUUAAAGAUGUGACUGGUGGUGGUGUUACAGCACAGCUAAAAGUGGUGAUGGUGGUAGGGAAGAGUGCACAAGCACUGUAACUGAGUGAGGUUACUUUGAUGAAAAGUAUUUUGUUCCAACCAGAGUAUGCAGCUACCUACCUUGAUGUGGUGUUUCACAGGGUUGUAACUGAGGAGCAAGUCAGGGCUGGUACAUCCCUAGGUGACGUGAAUGUUCACGGUAUGUGUUCUAAGGCCGCUCGCUCGGAUGGGUCUGAGCUGGGGAGGAGGAUAUGUGAUAAAGUGAAGGUAGAGAGGCCUUUAACAUUUAACCCCAGUGGAAGUACGUGUUGUAUGUGUGGUGUGCAACACAAAGCUAGGUUUAGUUAUGGGCCCCUGGGGUGGAGCAUUUGGAGAGCAGGGUGGGCCAAUGCUCCACUCCUCAGUUUAUACACAACUGGGAGAAAUCAGGUCCAGGCAAGAGUUUUUUGGAACUGUCUCCAACCCACUGCUCAGCUGCAGAUAAUCAGCUGUAGCAGUGGGAAUAAACCCCUCCCUGCUAUGCAGGUAAAGGGGAGAUUGCUGGCUUCCUCCCUGGAAGCAGGUUGGAGAGAGGCUAUUCUCUCCAGUGAGAGUGUCAAGGAGACUGAGCACUGGGAGUGCAAAAGGAAAGCAGUCAAGGCUGGCUUGGAGCACUGGGAGUGCAAAAAGAGAGAGAAUACUGUUUAUUUCUAGAAGGAAUGGAAGCCACAUGCUAACCGAGUGUGGAGUGCAGAGAUCUGACAAAGGCACUAGGUUGGUGAACCCAAAUAUUAUUUUGUUCUAGUUUAACCCCUGAGAGAGCGGGAAUCUGAUGUUAGUUAGUGUUCAGACGAGCUAGGCUUUUGUUUAUAGGGAUUUGUGUUAUUGUUGUUUUUUUCAUUUGCUGCUGUAACUGUGGUGGAGUUUAACAAUAAAACUGCCUGGAUAACAUGAAAACCAAAGGACUGUGCCUGUUGUUUACCCGGCAGACAAGGAUCACAAUAUAUAUAUAUAUAUAUAUAUAUAUAUAUAUAUAUAUAAUAUAUACAUUUUUAACUGCUCUUUCUUAUUUUUCCAUGUAUUGGUUGCUUUUUCUUGCUUGUACCUAUUGAUGCACUGAAAAUAUAUACCUAAUUAUACAUAUAUUUUGUAGCCCACUGAGUGGCCUUUUUUAGCCUUUUGGUUUGUCCCAUAACUUUCUUUGUUAAUGAAAUUCAUUCACAAAAUAAAGUAAGAAACGUAUAUAUUUUUUUCACUCUGUUUUGUGAAUGGGGAGCUACUGAUAGGCUGAGAGUGUCAGCUGGUGCUCUCAGACUAUCUGCCCAAGGCUUCCUGAUUGAAGUCUCGGAUCCAAAUGGAAUUUCGGAGGCAGAGCUGACUAGUGCUGGACUGAAGAGUUUGAGCUAAAUGUUUUACUAAUGGUUUAACCCCUAAAAGAAAGUUGCCACCAGGGACCUCCUGACACCAUAAUGACUUAAUUCCGAUGAAGUUGAUAUAUUUCUCGGAACGUCCCUUUGAGAGUAAUAUGGGAAAAGUCCCGAUUAAAAUCGUAACUAUUAAACAAAUUUCUUUCUUGGUACUGGGAACCAUUUAACCAGUUUCAGACUUAUCUGGAAGGGUUAAUGCUGAAAUAGCCAGUUUAGGUUUUAUGGAGGCCUGAAUGUGUGAUAAAAUAUUGCUGCUUUAUGCAUAAUAUAUAAAAUGGCAAUUAUUUCUCUCUAAUAUAUAAAAGCUUCAUUUUCAUAUUCCAUUUUCGUAAUUGUUUAUGCAUUAAACAACGUGAACUUAGAGACUCUAUAGGCACCGAGACCACUUCAUCUCAUUGAAGUGGUCUGGGUGCAGUGCCUUUGUCUAUUCAACCCAUCAAUGUACAACAUUGCAAUUUCUGAGAAACUGUAGUGAUUAAAUUGCCAGGUUAACUCCACCUACAAAGAGCCACUAGAGGCGCUUCCGGUUCCCUAGUUACUCUGCUAUACGACAUUGGACCUCCUCAAGCUUUGCAUGAGGACAUCUAACAUCUUCUAUUUUCCCCACAGGAAAGCAUUGAUUUACUGUUUUCCUAUGGGGAAGCUUGAAUGCACAUAUGGCACCUUCUGGCUUACGCCUUAGGACUCACCAAUGCCAUGACAUCGCGGUGGAGGAGAACUAGCCUUGUGAUUGGUUAGCAGUAAGGUAAAAAAAGAGACAGGAAGACUAUAGCCCUAGAAAUACAAAUUUGUAUUCCUAAUGCUAAAGUGUUCAUUUAAAGUUCAAUAUAUCAACUCCAGCUUAGAUUGUUGACUAGUUGAUCUUCAACACUCCAAUGUAAUAUAUAUAUAUGAAUAUGGGCAGAGAAACUAUUUUGUAAAAUAAGUUCACUUUUACAGUACAUUUAUAAACUCAUACACAAAAAUAGCAUAAGAUACAUAUAAUGGAUAAAAAUACGUAAAGAUACAUAGAAAUAAUAAUUCCAAAGAUAUGAGAUUUUUUUUUUUUUAUCCUUUUCUCCAUGGUUGGCUGUGACAUGCAGGUAAGUAUUGCAGAUAUCAAUAUUAGGGAUUUCCUUCCUCGUUUGAGUUCAGCCAUUCAUCAAGUGUAAAGUGAAAAUAUCAAUGCAUAUAUAAAUGAUAAAACAAUCAUGUCUCAAGUAUAGUAUCAACCUAUUUUAAAAUUAUUUUUAUUAACUGCAAAACCAUGCGUGCCAAAUUAAAAAUAAUUAUAGCAGUGUUUUAGGGGGACUGGUUUAAAGCAUUCUGUACCUGCAGCUUGACAAAGUAGUGUGGUGACUGCGUGUUGCGCAUACAGCAUUGGUUUGUAUUUAAUUACUAUAAGUAAGCUUCAAAUAGCUUGUAGCUGUGGCCGACUCCGGCCAGGAGGGUAUAUAAAAGGAUCUGAUCUUAGGCUGAACGCGUAAUGAAAUGUGCACUUCAGUAAAGGGGAACUUGACACGUUCAAAUGUGACUUGAUGAGGGGUUAAAAGCUCGACUAAUGUGCAAGCCAAAAUCUUACGGAGCCAGGGUGUAUGGGAAAUCUAAUGCAUAACACAUAAACUAUAAAGAAUACAACAAUAAUAUAUUUGACAAUGAUAUCUGCUGCCCUAGGCAUCAGGUAGGAGAGUCCGUACUCCCUGGUGGUGCUCUUCUGGGCACAAAUGGAUUAAUUCUCUCCAUCGUCUAAGAUGGUUGUAUGUCCUUCCUAACGGUCUCAAUUGGUAGAUCUAGGGACUGGAGGAAUGUUGUUGCCUCUGAAACGUGCAGCAAGAGAUGCAUCUUGUCGUUAUUUUCCGCCAUCAGUCGGUGCAGACCCCACUUGAAUUUGAUGGCAUGAUCUCGUAGUAAUUGUGUAAUAGGUCCAGAUGACCUCCGCCAUGUGAGGGUACUUCUAGAAAAGUCUCUAUAAAAGACCAGGUGUGCUCUCUCAAAGGGUACUGUGGGAGAGCCUUUAACAGCACUCAUGAGGGCCCCUCGAUCAGCGUCACAUACAAACUUUGGCGGCAAUAGUGUGGCAAUAAGUCUCCUGCAGUAAUAGGGUAAUUCAGCAUUUGAGAUGGCAUCAGGAACGCCACGUAUUCUUACAUGCGUGCUUUAGCACAAUCUUCUAUGCUAGCCAGUUGUGCUGUCAGGUCAUCACAUUUCUUCUGUAAUGAACCUAGAGCAGCAUCUGUGGCAGAUUGUGCUAGUUUGGUGCUUCCCAUGUCUCCCUCCACCGCAUCCACUCUGCUAGGGAAUAUGGUAACUCCCUCCCGGACUGCCAUAUCUGCGUGAAACAUGACUUUGAUAUCCGGGCUCAAUGCCUGUAUGUCUGUAGACACCCUCCUACAAAGAUGCCCGAGGCACAGAGCGUACCUGGGAUGAAAUAGGAGGUAGACCGUCCGACGAUGGAGAGGAGUAGGCUCCAGCCGUCGCCAUCUUGGAAGGUACAGGUAGCACGGUCGGAUGCAUAAAUGCUCCAAAAUCUCUGGAGCCUGAGCGCAGAUCUACUCUGUAUUUUUAACUCUUCUUCAUCAUUUGUUAAGGAGUCUAAGGACCCUUUUAGUUAGUGGCUGGAGAAAGCUGCGUUAAUCGGAACAAGCUAUUGGAUCUGCACAGAGACCCCCCCCCUUUGCAUUUUUCUUUUAAUCCAGGAGUACAGUAACUAUUUUACCUCUAUCCUGCUGCAUGAAGAAAUGUUAAAAUGGAGAUAUCCUGAGUAAAUUAAUAUUCAGUGCAGUUUUGUGCAAAUAUUACUUGGCGUUUUCUCUGUAGAAAACAAGUAGAAAUGUUAUGAUGUUCCACACUGAUUUUCACUUGAUAUUAAUAAUAAGCAAUUUUAAUCAUUACUAAUUUUAUCAGCACCCCAUCACUUAUGUUGCAAUUCUUUUGUUUUUGUUGGCAGAAAAUUUGUGUAGGAGGUUUUUUCUCUACUUUUGUUCACCAUCUAUGUCUGUCUGUAUGUAUUUCUGUGUGUCUGUCUGUCUGGGUUCUAUACAGAAAUUUUAUAGCAAGACUUGUUAAAAAAAAAACAAAAAAACCCUUUUAAAAGAUUUUUAUUUUACAAUAUUACUUUAAUAAAUAAGCAAAUAUUUGACAGAAUGUCAAGCCUUUCCAUGGUUUAACCAAAGAUUUUUGUUGUUCUUGAAAACAAAUAAAAACAUUAAAAAGGUACCUUUAAUGUUGUACACUUUAGUAAAUACAGAUAGACCAUGGAAUUCGAGAACUCUAAAAGCUUUGGUCUCUGUGAUAUCAUAACACCAUAGAUUCACAGUUCUCAUGCCCCAACAGACCAGGCUAAUUUAAAUUGAUAACAUAAUCAUUAAAAGGAGAUAACGCAUACAUAAACAUUUAUUAGUGAUCGGAGGACCACCCACUAAGCAAUACCUUCAGACACUUAAAAAACACAGCUAAUCAGAUGCACAGACUUGGGAUGAAAGUUACACAUUCUUAAUGUGUCCGCAACACUAAGGGAAAAGUGCAGACUAAAAGAUGGUUUUAGUUAUAAAUGUAGUUUUGUGGGUGUAUUAUAUAGAUACCCUACUGCGUUAUCUGUAUUUAAAAAUAGAUGGUGUUCUUGCUUGAUGUUACAUUAUGGAGCCUAUGACUACAUUACUGAGGCAUUGAAACUGCAUAUGCAAUACAAUCCAUUGGCAAUUAAAGGAACACUGUAGGCCCUUUACAAUUUCAUCUUAUUAAAGAUGUUAUACUGCCUUCAGUACUGGCCACCCUGUCCUACACCCAAUAUUCAAUAUUAAAGUAAUAAGAAGGCUUGGAAAUGCGGCUUCAAGCCACACCCCCAAGCCCUAUGGGUAUGAGUGCCGGGAAUCUUACUUCCUGACAUUUAUACCAUAACAUACAGUGACGUAAUAUGCGCACACGCAGUGCCGUCAUGGUCACCAUAUAGAAGGUAUGAUUAAAGAGCAAGCUCCAUGCAUGUUCCUUUAUAAGGAGCAAUGGAAUGGAUUUGCUCAUCAUCCUAGAGGCAUGCCUUCAGGAUGGCGUAACCUUAGAAUUAAGUCUCAGCAGCGCCAAAGGAGACUUAGGACUGGAGGUGAGUAAAAAGUAGUUUACUUUUAAUUAAUAUCAAGUUUUUUUUUGUUUGUUUUUUAAACAGUUUUGGGUGGCAAAGGGCAACAGGGCUGUAGCUUAUUCCUAAUUGUUCAUUUAAUUAAAUAAAAUUAACCUUCUUGACACGAGUUUAAAAAAGUUUUCUCAUCUCACAAUUCCUAAAGCCAGGUUUUAAGCAUAUCCACAUCAUGAUACAAUUGUUUAAUUUUAUGGAUGAACCCGAAUUAUUAAAAACCCUAUUCUUGAUAUUUCUAAUAUGAUCAUUUAUUCUAAUAUUAAAUGGUCUUGUGGACCUGCCAACAUACUGUAAACCACAUUUGCACAUUAGAAGGUAUAUCACAUGGCUUGUAUUACACAUAAUAAAUGAGUUAAUCUCAUAUUCCUUUUUAGUAAUUGGUUAACCAAGGAGUAAAAUGAUAACUACGCUGGUCUAUAUAACUAUUAAUAACUACCUUUUUAAAAUAAGUACUCAUUUUUAUGGUGCCAGACUCUAUAAAAUUUUUAAAUCUACAGAACGAACUUCUGAGUCACUAAUUUCAGUAGUUGAUUUUAUAACCUAGGAGUUAUAAUUUAAAAAUAUGUAAGAAAUUGGUCUGGCGAGGCACAGUCCCUCUCCAUAUAAAAAAAAAACCCAAACAACCACCUUCACAGUCCAGUCAUGACCUGAAUAAAUAAAAGAUCAUUCCCAAUAUGCCAUAAAAAGGCUCUCAUAACUUGGCCCUGUGAACUUGGUCCCCCUGGUUGUGCCUAGCUUCUGCAAAUAAAAGUCACCUUUUUGUAUGGGUUUGGAGUUUCUAAAAAAACACCCUCCUACCGAACGUAAUGGCUUAUAUCUAUUUCUAUGGAAAAAAUGGCCAAUCAUUGAAAGCUCUGUCUGUAUUUAACAUGAAAUUGGUUGGUUGUUCUGCUAUAAUUUGUAGGUCUAUGUUUCCUGUUUGGUCGCAUUUCGGAAGGAGUGACAUCUUGUUUUCUCAUCCUUUCUCUCCUUACUUCAGUCCUUUUUACCUCCUUAUCUCUCAUUAUGUAUUACAACUGUCUUGCCUACUUACUUCCAUACUCUCUUUGUUGACUUCUGGACUAAUACGAGUGGAAAAGAAAAAAAAAACUACCAGUAGGUGUCUCUUAACUUUAUAUGGAGUAACAAUCUAGCUAGAUAUUGUCACAGUUGCAGAUUAACCUUAAAACAUAAUUUUGAAUUAGUAUAUUCAAAUAUAUGGAAAGAAAAGAAUAAUAAAAGCAAAAAGCACAAAGAUAAAUGUUAGUCCAGUAUAGGUAAUCUUGCUACAACUGGCACAGAACCCUCAAAUUGCAAAUAUAGCAGAGAGAGUAGAGUGAGAAAAAGAUCCUACUAAAUCUAAAUGUUCCUAUUACUACAUAAAUUUGCAGUAAAGAUGCACAAAAAGGAGCGCAGAGCACAUAAAUACACUAGACUCUCCUGCAGUCAAGAGUCUGAUCAAUGUGAGAAGAAUGGCUCUUAUUCACAAAAUUAAAGUAUCUAAGCAGAAUACCGCAAAAAAGUGUGAAAAAAAUAAGACAAUAAUUGUCAAAAUAAGGUGCCAGUGACUUUAUUUUGACAAUUAUUGUCUUAUUUUCGACAAAGUUUCUUCGAGUAGUUUCGUUACACCACAACUGACUUUUAGCAUAACCGAAUUGCUGUAUUAAUACUUACUUUCAUUUUAAUAUUGUAUCUACUUCUGGUUCCCAACCACAAAUAUAUAUACAGUAGUUUUAGAUACUUUUAAAACCUGUACUGCUGUACUGCAUGGAUGGUGAUAUCAGAUGUGUAAUUAUUUCCCUUAAUGAAUGUGCAAUAAUGCAUGGAUCAAUUCAAGUGCCCUAAUCUCAGAUUCUGUUCUGCCUAAAAUCAGUGGGAUCUACACUCCUGUUUAGGAAUAAAGUCCUACCCUUAUCCUUAAACUUCACUAAACAUUAUCCCCUACGCUACAUUACACUAUCACUAAAUAAUACGUUAUACACUACAUUAAAUGAACUAUUAACUUCUGCACUAACAGUAAUCCCUAACCCCUGCACUACCUAAACACUUACCCUUAAAUACUAUACUACAUUUACACUAACAAUUAACAACCUACACUACCUAAACACCUAGUUCUAGCCCUAAUACAAAAAAUACAUAACAGCAAAGUGUAUCGGGGGAUAAUAUUAUUAUUUCAAGAUCUGUAGACAUUUAGAAACUUCUCAAACUUUGGUCUCAUGUUUUAUUAUGAUUUCUCCAAAACUCUUCAAUGACACUGACAUAUGACAUAUUUCCAUACAGACGAAUGUUAUGCAUUCUCUCUCCUUCCUUCUCUUUCACCUUCUCUCUCUCUCUGACUUUCUUUCUUUCAAUCUUUCUCUAUUUAUACAUAUAUAUGCAUAUAUUUGUGGAAAUAUAUUUUCUGCAUGUUUGUUAUGUUUGUUCUAACCUCAAAAUAUUCAGCAGAAGGUAGGAAUUUUUGUUUUAGGCUUGUGGUCACUUUUGUCAGCUGAAUUGCUUUGAAGCAUAAAUCUAAAUUUGGUACAAGGUUCCUCCUUGCAAUUUAUAUCUUUAUGAGUUUUUCUAAAGAUUCUUGGACUUGUUUAUUCUUUUGAAUUCUUAAGGGAUACCAUUUAAAUUGAGUAAUUUAUUUAGAUAAAUCACCAGUAAUCCAUAAGUGAAUAACAUGUAUGUGUAGUACUGUUUUGUACUGUGUGCUGGAUUUUAUACUUAUUAGUUUUUACUUGCCAGUUGUUAUGUCAUUACAGAAUUAGUAAAAAAAAAAAAAAACAUUCAUGAGUGACAAUAUGCCAAAAAACUAAACAAAAUAAAUUUUCAUUAAUCAUAUUUCGGAGAAUAGCGGACAGAAAGACGUCUAAUUUUACUUAGUGAAUACAUAGGAGAGGGAGUAUGGAGUAAAAUCUGGAAAUCAUAAUAUAGUUAAAAAAAAAUGGCUUGGUAACUACCAACAAACCAUUAAUUAUUUUCUUUUUUAAAUUUAAGUUUAUUAGUUCAUCAUUUAUAAACCGUAUAAUGUAGAUUCAUCUAAAAUUGAUGUCCCUAAUGAGAUUUGGGAAUAAUGCUUUAAACCCAGAACCAAUCAACAAGUAAAUACCAGACUUUAAGCCUGGACCUAUUGAGUGCCAUGGUAGUUUUCAUUUUUUCUCACAAGAGGCCUGGGCAACUAUAAGGCUAGGUCAGCAGCAUCAUCUCCUUAACUCCUCCCAGACCUCACCACCUGAGAUUGCCGACCCCCAUCCUUGCUUUUAAUCUCUUCUGCUGCAGAGAUCUCCAGGUCCAGCCAGAUAAGCUAAGCAGUGAAUCCCGCAGCCUACAGUUUUGUGGCCAUCUUGCAAGCAUCAGACCCUGGAUCUCUUCUAGAUUCAUUAUAAUUCUAUAAUAAGUGCUAUUUCAUUUUUUUUUUUAGUUUUUAAUCUUUAUUAAAUUUUUUUCCAUAAAUUGUACAUGACAAAACAAAUAUACAUAUACAAAAGACAUAAAAAGCAUACCAAAACCCUACUGAAGUGGGAUAUUGUAAAUAUAUUGCACAUACUUAUACCAAAAGUCUAAACUUCGGGCAAAAUACAUUGUUAUUUAUAAAAAAAAAGUUCCUUUUGUUUUCCCUUUUUCAUCUUCCACUCCAGCAACAUAAAAUUAAAAUAUAAAUACAAGUUAAUAAAACACUUUGCUGAGAGAUUGUCGUGUAGUGUUUACAGGAACUAGGUGGAGAGAGAUUUAACAAUACAUUUUCCUUUUCCUUUCCCCUCUGCCUCUUUCUUUCUCUUUUGUUUCCCUUUGUCUUCUACCUUUUCUCUUACCUCUUCACUCUCUUUUGCCCACCAUAUUCCAUUUGUCUUUUACCCAUCUUGAACUAUAUAGGUUUGCACCCGGGUACCACCUAACAUAAGUGUUAUUUUAUUAUAAUUCUUAAACCAGUAAUAUUAUAAAUACAACCAUUUAUAAAGAAUAAGAAAUACAGAAUCCCUUAAAAUAGACCCUCUUUGUUGGUGAUAUAUAUCUGUUUACUAAUACAUAUGAUAUUUAACAUCACUAUGCUAUGUUCACACCUCUCUGGGUUAAAUGUUUGUGCUAGCCUUAAUAUUUUCCAAGGGCUUUUUUUGUAACUUGGAGAAACAGUAAGGUGCAUUGAUCUGUAAUAUCAAAGAGCUGGCAACAUGAAUAACUGAUUCUUUCAUUUGCUGUCUCCUGACAUCAUCCCUAUGAGUCACUGUGUAAAGAAAUUCUACCUACCCUUUGCUAAUAUAUGCGAAAGUGUGCCUUGGGAGAGUUUGUGUAGUAAAGGAAUUGAAAUGUGUUUUCUGCUUUUGGAAUAUGAAUACAUAUUACUGAAUAAAAAUAAAAUAACUAUGACAUAGAACAGCCUUUUUUAUUUUACUUCAAAGAACAAUUGUUUAUACUGAUAUUGAUUGAAAGUUACAUUUAUAUUACUAUGAUAUAGCAUUGUAUUUUUUUAAACUAGAUAAACACAUCUACAUAUUAACAGAAAAUGCAUAUUAACAAAUCUAUUAUUAAAGCUAUCAUUAGACCUUCAAGGAAAGAAGGUAAAUUGACCAUCAGAAAUUUUUUUUAAAUUGACUCACAUACUUGUGAAAAAAUUGACAAUAUAUAAAAAAAGAAUUUGCAGUAUUAAAUAACUUGAUGAUGUGGCUACCAGUGAGUUGAUGUAUAGAUUUAAUCAGGUACAUACAUUGACAUCCUGGAUUUUGUUAUGUGAGAUAAACUAUAUCAACAAGUCUAAUCUUCAUCGUUUAUAUUGCAAUAUAAACCUGGACUUGGUUACUAAAGAUGCAUAUCUAUCUCUGAGAAACUAAUCCUGGCCGUUAUGGCCAUGGGCCAUAUGAGGCCCAUAACGGCUUUUCUAGAUUCCCCGGCUUGUUUCAGGAAUUCAUAAUCUUUUGUCAUUUUUCUUUAUUUUAAGUACUAUUAGCAUAUAAAACAUAAAAAUAUCUCUAUGAAAAAUGUACUGCAGUAAUAAGGAUCCAACCUGAACACUGAAAAAAAGCCUUUUAUCUCAAAAUCAGAUUUCAGUGUCUUUCCAGAAAAUGUUUUCAAAAUUUCUAUUCUACAUAUAAAUUGCUCUUAUCUUUAAUGAUUCCUAAAGAUGUUGAAAACAUUAGUCUCAUUAAAAGUCAAUUUAACCUUUUAUAUAUCGACGAUAUGUCUUACAGGUGAAUCGCAUUUGUUUAUUGAAUUUUUCACCCAAACUCUAUUUUUUUUUUUUACCCAUUUCUGUUUUGCUUUAUUGUAAAUGAUUGAUGUGACGCUGGGAUUUUGCUACUGUUCCCACUACAUUGUUAAUUUUUAUUUUUAAGUCUACCUUUCAACUCGUCUUUUGAACAUUAUUUAUCGACAAAAAUAAGCAUAGUUCUUAAGUACUGAUAAUGCAGUACAUACUGAAAUAAUAAAGAGAAUCCCCAAGGCUCUGAAAGAGUUAAUGAAAUGCCAUAUUGUUUUUAUCAGCAGGUCGGAAGGUCUGAAUUACUCUGCAUGUGGUUUUAUUUCUACGACAUGUUUCAUGAUUCAAGAAUUACAAAGUGAUUUUAAGGAAAAGAACACAAAGGGCAGACAGUAACCAGAAUAGCAGCCAGUUUUAUUACUCCAUCUACAAAACAGAAAAAUAUGGAAGCAGUCACCUGAACACAAGCAUAUAUUAAUAGAGUGCACCUGAGAUAAGUAAAGGUUGCACACAAUCCAAGAAUUAGUUACAUGAUAGGGCUAUUGUAUGCUUACUCUGCAUUUCAUAUAACCCAAUGUGUACCAGAAAACAUUCCCAAAUGAUUGAUUUUAAAGCCAUGGAAUCUGUAUAAAUUUAGAUUUUUUAAGAGAAACCCCCCUGUGUGUCAGGAUCCACAUAAAGCAUUACAAGCAUGGAGCAUUCCAAUAAGCCCUACCGCUGAGUUUCAAAGUACUUGUAGUAGAAGGCCCAGACAAUAUCAGGAUCUUUUCAGUGACUACACGUGACAAUUUCAUCAUUCUUAUUUGCUAUCAGUGGGAAGGCGAGUACUUGGCAAAUAACCCUUCAAACUUCACAUUCCUCCCUAAACCCCCUUUCCCCUAAUCAUACAUUUUAUAUAACUGUAUCUGCAGCUCUGCUAGAAGGUUGCCUGACUUAUAGUAGUUAGUUUUCACUUAUAGUUACAUAGCUGAAAAGAGACUUGCAUCCAUCAAGUUCAGCCUUCCUCUCAUUUGUUUUUUGCUGUUGAUUCAAAAGAAGGCAAAAAACCUAGUUUGAAGCACAAUUUUGCAACAAGCUAGGAAAAAAAUUCCUUCUUGACCCAGGAAUGGCAGUCAGAUUUAUCCUUGGAUCAAGCAGUUAUUACCCUACAUUGAAAUGUACAUUACCCUACAUUCUUUCUUCCAGUCUAAACGCAUGACCUCGUGUCCUAUGUAAAGUUCGGUUUGUGAAUAGAUUUCCACACAAUGGUUUGUAUUGGCCCCAAAUAUAUUUGUAUAAUGUUAUCAUAUCCCCUCUCAGGCAAUGUUUUUCUAAACUAAAUAGGUUUAAAUUUGUUAACCUUUCUUCAUAUGUCCCAUUCCUUUUAUUAAUUUUGUAGCCCGCCUCUGCACUUAUUCUAGUGCCAUAAUAUCCUUCUUUAGAACAGGUGCCCAAAAUUGCAUAUUCAAUAUGUGGUCUUACCAGUGAUUUAUAAAGAAGCAAAAUUAUAUUCUCGUCCUGAGAAUGAAUGCCCUUUUUCAUGCAUGACAAUACCUUACUGGCCUUGGCCAUUGCUGAUUGACAUUGCACAUUGUUGCAUAGUUUGUUGUCUAUAACAAUUCCCAAGUCCUUUUCGUGUGUUGUUAUCCCUAAUUCGCUUCCAUUAAGGGUAUACGUUGCAUGUGUAUUCUUUACGCCGAAGUGCAUAACUUUGCAUUUUUCAACAUUAAAUUUCAUCUGCCAUUUGAGUGUCCAGUCCCCCAGUCUAUCUAAAUCCCUCUGCAGCAAAGUAAUAUCUUGCUCACAUUGUAUUAUUUUACAGAGUUUUAUGUCAUCUGCAAACACUGAAACAUGACUUUCAAUGCUGUCUUCAAGAUCAUUUAUAAACAUGUUAAAUAGAAGGGGUCCUAGAACAGACCCCUGAGGGACACCAUUUGCCACCUCUGUCCAGCUUGAAAAUUUACCAUUAAUGACAACUCUUUGUACUCUGUUUUUAAAAGGAUUUAGGCACCUGUGCAUCUACAGCUUAAUGAAGUGGUUCGGGUGCCAGGGUCCUUCUAGGGUUAACCUAUUUUUUAGCAGUCAUAGCAGCUCGCUAUGUUUAUUAAUGGGUUGCUUCCUCUGUUCUUCUAGUGGUUGCCCUAUUGACAGUUACUAGAGGCGCUGGCGUGUUUUCACUGUGAGCACGAAGCGUGCUCAUAGGGAAAGCAUUGUAAAUGUGCUUUCUAGGCGACGGCUGAAUGCUGCUGCCAAGAGUUUUGCCGCAUCGCAAGAUUCAGCCCAGGAGGAGUGAUCGAGGAGGAGAGGAGGCAGAGAGCUCCCCGCCCCAGUGCUGGUAAAAGGUAAGUUUUAACCCCUUUCCCUUCUGUAUCCUCGGCGGGGACCCCUGAGGGACACCACUUGCCACCUCUGUCCAGCUUGAAAAUUUACCAUUAAUGACAACUCUUUGUACUCUGUUUUUAAGCCAAUGUUCUACCCAAGAACAAGCAUUUUCAUCUAGACUGAUUUCCCUGAGUUUGAACACUAAUCUAUUGUGUGGGACUGUAUCAAAUUUCUUGGCAAAAUCCAAAUAGAUCACAUCCACUGCAACACCCUGAUCUAUACUUCUACUUACUUCUUCGUAGAAUGCAAUCAAGUUAGUUUGACAUGACCUGUGCUUCAUAAAACCGUGCAGAUUUUUGCUGAUAACCAUGUUCUUCUCAAGGAAUUCUUGAAUAUUAUCCCUUAAUAACCUUUCAAAUAUUUUCCCAGCCAGAGAAGUUAAGCUCACAGGUCUAUAAUUUCCAGGCAAGGAUUUUGAACCCUUUUUGAAUAUAGGAACCACAUCUGCUUUCCUCCAAUCCUCCGUUACACUUCCUGAAAGAAAAGAAUCUUGAAAGAUUAAAAACAGAGGUUCACUUAUUUCUACACUUAGUUCCUUAAGUACUCGUGGAUGGAUACCGUCAGGCCCUCAAGCUUUGUUUAUAUUAACUUUCUUUAGUUGCUGCAGCACCUUGUCUUGAGUUAACCAAUUACAAUUAUUCUGCAAGUUUUUUGUAGCAAUCAUUUGCACAUCUAUUGCCAUGGGUUAUUCCUUAAUAUAUACGGAGGAGAAAUCGUUAUUUAAAAUUCCUGCCUUUUCCUGGUUUACAGAGGACACUGGUCUAGGCUCCUGGUACUUAUCUCCACACCAGCUUACUUCAGCUCUGAAAAGGCACAUUAUAAGUGCUGAAAACAGAUGCCUGCUAGAAUUUUUUUUUUUCAGUUUAUGGGAGUGUAGGACCCCCUAGUGGGCCUGAAACAUAAUUAAGGGAAUCUUCUCCUGGGACUGUAGUUUAGUCAUGAAAAUGUUGCUGUAUAAUGGGAGAGACCUUCCCUAACCUUCUAAGAGGCUCCUCUGUGUUCUGUCACUCCUCUUCAGUUCCUGCUGUCUCCCGAAUACUGGGUCCAGGAAUCCCCAGGCUUCUGUCAUGCCGCCCGCCGGCGCUGCUCCUGUCAGAGGGCAGCAAGGGUCCUGGCGGGCGCGUAUCGCUACAGCGGUAUUCUCACAAACUAAGGGGAAUACUGCAAAACACUCACCAGAGGUGACCUCUCCUCUCUCAGGAGCCGGAUCUGUAUCAUUAAGCUGCUGUGAAAAAUAAAGGGUUUCCUGUUUAACCCUUAAAGGACCAGAUCAAUUAAUUUAAUAUGGGAGUGUUACACACAUAAACUUGAUCACAUGUUUCCCUACAGCCUAUCAGGAAACACCUUUAGCUAUUUAAACCUCAUUUGUCCAUUUAUCUGUGCUCUGUCGUGGUUUCCAGUUGGUUAUCCGAGAGCGCAUUCCUUGUAUUGAUUUCUUGUGUGUCUGACCUUGGCUUCCCUUAUUGACUAUCCGAUCUCUGUAUUCCUUGACUUUUGGCUUGGCUCCUGACUAUUCUGAUAUCUCAAUUUCUUAACCUUUGGCUUGUUUAUCGUUUGCGUUAUACCUUUGUCUUGGCUUUUCCCUAUCUUGUGUCUUUUGCCUUUUUACGUUAAAUCCGGCCAUUCUAAGGUCCGGUAAUACGUUUUAGGUAUUUGCUUUUGAAAUGGAAAAAUCAAUCAAGGUAUUGAUUAUUUCUUUGUGUAUCUGCCCCUGGCCAAAUCAAUGAAACAAUGCGUGCACGCUCCCUGAAGUAAUUCACACCAGACACAGGUUCCAGGUUGUUGAAUAACUUGAGGAAUGUUUAUUCAGAGGGGACGGCAGGUCCCUUUUAAAGCAAAAUUACAUCAUAAGCAUUGUCAGAGAUAACAUGGAAUAAUACAUCAAUUAUUGGUUAGGUGUUAAGUAGUCAUUCUAAUGCUCUGCCUACUGGGGGUGAUGUCACCAGGGCCAUGAGGGUCUCCCACGGUUUUCCGGCGCCAUCUUGCUGCACGAGGUAGUUAGUCGGUGUUAAAGGGAGGGGGAGGAAAGGAGGGGUUAGAAGCUUCUAGCAGCCAUCUUGAUUAAAACAUGUGUGCAUAGCUUAUAUUGUAUAUAGUGAAAUGAGUAAAUAGACAUUUUCAUUAACUAGGAAAUAUGUGCAGACCUUAUUUCCACAACAGUCCCCCCUAAAAUGGCUAUUUACUAUGACAACUUGCUACUGUCCCUAGUGUAUCCCUAGCUGCCUGCAGCUCAUCUGUCUUCACAAGCAUCGACCUCUUCACUCCGUGGGUAACCCGCAGUAGCUAGUCCACCACAUCUCCGCACGUGAGACUUGCCCGUAAAGACAGACGCUUUCCCUACACUGUCCCUACAGAAAUGCAGUUGUCUGUUUAAACUGAUGUGAUUGAAGGGGUGUAUGUGGGGUGUCAUCUUCGAGGUCUGUGAUGUCUUGAUGUAGGAAAGUAGGGGUAACGUCAUCUAUAGUCUUCCCUACUGCUUUCUGUAAAUACUUCUGUAUGCAAGGGAGCACACAACAGGUUAAGAAUAAGAAGAUGAUAAUCAUUAUAAGAACAGCUGUUCCUACCUGGAAGAGGGUCCUUUGCCAACCAUUCAUCCACCCAAACCAUCUGUCCCAAGUGUCAGUGACUCCUGAAUUCUUCUUUAGCUCGUCAGAAAGACUAUCUAACUUCUCUAUGGCCAUAGUCACCUUACCAUUGGGCCCAGUGUUGUCUGGAAUGUAUGUGCAGCAUGUCAUAGUCUCAGGGAGGAUUUUACAUACACCCCCUUUCUCAGCUAAAAUCAUAUCUAGGGCCAUUCUGUUCUGAAAUGUCAUUUGGGUAGUGGCUUGUAAUUGCUCCGCCAGGCCCUGUAGGGCAUCCCUUGUGUAAUUAACAAAGCGCUGUUGAUUAUAAUAGAUGUAAUUGAUCCAAUUGACAUUCUUAUUAGCAGUUAUCAUUGGAAUUAAGGAUUCAAAUCCUGCUGCCACUUCAUCCCUUGCCUUGAAUUUGUUAGGCACCCCCCUUGGCACACCUAUGGCAUCAAUAUACACAUGGGGGUCGAAGCUCCCUCGGAUGGGAGCCUCUCGUUUGGUUCUAGAAUGUACAUGUGUAAGGUUUAAUGUGUUAUGACUACCAUCUGGAAUAAUGUGGAUAGGCAUUAUAACUUUGGUCAGGGCACACUCCCCCCACCAUUGCCCAGCUAGUUGGGACCUCAAUUGUUUGUCACCACAUAACCAAUAGAUAUCACCGAUUGUCUUUGUAUGAUUCAUUAACAGUGAUACAGGUGGACCAUGGUAAGUUGAGCAGUAUCCUGAUGGGAAUUUGCCCAGAUAUACACCAGUGUUCUUAGGUAUUGAAUAGCAUGUGUAAUUACCUGGAUAGACUGUGACUCCAUCAGGUGGCUUGACAUGUCCAUGAGUGAUUGGGUAAACUCUAUUCCAUGAUUCACAUGUUGAGGAAUUUGUGGUGGACUGUGCAUAGAGGCUUAAGACACAUAGUUCUAUUUCAGGAGGUAAACUUAGGGGUACCGUGCCCAGAUGGGGCCUGGCUCCUCCACAUACAUAGCAGUUAGUCUUAUUAUGUGAGUUGGCAUUAUACCUCAUCCAUUCUAGCCACAAAUUAGUGUCUGAAAACCCAGUCUCCACUGCCAUAGUGUCUUCAAAGGUGGGGUUGGCUAUAGCUACCAUGUAGGGUCUUAAUAUGUGGUUUUAACGGGUUAAUGAUCAUGUGUGUGGUCCCUACCCAAUCUGGUGAGGUGAGCAUGUCUUGUAGGUAAAAUGUCCCCAGUGUGUUAUGUGAGCCACCUCCCUUCCAGUACAUUCCCAUUACAUAUUCCCCAGCAUCCUUUGGGCUGGGGUGCUCUAUGUUCAAGGUAAGUUUAAUGGGAGUUGACCCUAUGGGCUUACUCAGGGUCAUUCUAGAAAUUAGGGGUUUCCCGUCUUUGUCAAGUCUGUCCAGUGCAAUCUGGGGUCUGUAGCCCCAUGGUCUACCCGUGUUCCACCCGGCAGCUUUCCAUGAACUACAAUGGUGUCCCCAAACUCCUCCAGUCACACAAAUGUAUGGAUCCUUUUUGUUAGGUAUGUCUUUGUAUAUGGCUGCAUAUUGUGUUUGUGGAAAUGUGCAAGCAACUAUGCCACAGUAAUCAAAGGUGUACGUAGCUACAUCUGUGUUAGAAGAAUUGUACCAGAAAGUGUAAACAUGAUUAUCUUUGGUUAUGGCCACUUGUUGGGCCCAGGCAAAGUGUAGCAGCAUAAGAAAACACAAGACACAUAUUAAAUUCAUAUUUCAGCAGGAUUAGCCUCUUCUGGAGCAGGCACUUUUUUGCAAUGUGAGGCGAGUAUCCAAGAACUCUUCCCGGCUAGUUUAACUGACGUUGCUGUAAUCAGGAGCACUUGAUAAGGACCAUCAAAUCUUGGUUCUAGGGUGUGUUUCCUGAGAAACUUCUAGACCAUAACCCAAUCACCAGGAAGCAGCUUGUGUGUACUUGUAUUCGACUCAGGAUCUGGAAUAGAAGAAAACACUUGGGCAUGUAUUUUGGUCAAGGCAUGUGAGAGGGCAGUCACAUAGUCUACCAUAGCAUCUGACUGAAUCUGAAGCUGUUGGGGAAAGUAACAACCUAACCUGGCUGCUGUACCAAACAAAAUCUCAUAAGGUGAUAAGCUAUAUUUUCCCCUAGGAGUGUACCUUACACUAAAUAACGCUAGUGGGAGACUCUCGGGCCAGGCAUGUUAGUUUCUUGUGACAUUUUAAGCAUUCUGGCUUUCAAAGUGCCAUUCAUGCGCUCUACCUUACCACUACUCUGUGGGUGAUAUGGUGUGUGGAAUGCAAGGGUCACCCCCAGUGCUGACCAGACUUCCCGUGUUAACGAGGCAGUAAAGGAGGUCCCUUGGUCACUUUCAAUCACUUCUGGAACUCCAUAUCAGCAAACAAUUUCCGUCAAAAGGUACUUGGCUGUAGUCCUCGCGGUGAGAUUAGUCACUGGGAAGGCCUCUGGCCAUCCUGAAAACAUGUCCACCAUGACCAGUGCAUAUUCAUAACGUCCACUCUUUGGCAUUUGUAUAUGGUCAAUCUGGAUCCUCUGAAAGGGGUAUUGCGGCUUGGCUAGGUGAUUAGGCGCAGUCUUUAUAAUCUUUCCAGGAUUGCAUUUAGCACAUAUAGUACAUGAUUUACAGUAAUUCUGUGUUAAGGUAGUGAUACCUGGUGCUUCAAAAUACUUGUCAAUCAGUGAGUUCAUCAGAUGUUUUGACAGGUGGGCUGGCCCAUGGGCCCAUUGGACCACCGCUGAGUACAUACUUCUGGGUAAGCAAAACUUGAGAUUGAUGGUGUAAACAUCAUCACGGAGUACAGCUCCUUUGUUCUUCCAACUUUGUUUCUCCUGGGGAGUAGCAGCAGCUUGUUGUUCCUUCAGAAGCCUAAGAUCUGUAGGCAAUGUUUGCAUAGUGUAGAUGGGUACUGUAUCGGUGGCCACUCUUCUGUCCACUUCCCAUCCUUGCCGUGCUGCUUCCUUAGCUGCCUGAUCAGCUAAGUGGUUGCCCCGUGCUUCUUCUGUGUCUAGUCUUCCGUGGGCUUUUACUUUUAGUACUGCCACCUCUGCUGGAAGUUCUAAAGCAUCCAUCAGUUCUGCAAUGGCUGCCCCAUGUUUUACUGGGGUACCGGUAGCCGUAAGAAAUCCUCUGGUUUUUCAAAUUAGACCAAAGUCAUGUGCUACUCCCAGGGCAUAUCUUGAAUCUUUGUAGAUAUUGACACGUAGACCUUCAGACAAUUUGCAGGCCACAGUCAGGGCUGUUAGCUCGGCUUCUUGAGCAGACUUAGUUGGUUGUAGGGCAGCUGCUUGUAACACUUGACAUCCUGUGGUGACUGAAUACCCAGUGUGAUAUUGUCCCUGUUCAUCAGCAAAUCUUGACCCAUCCACAAAUAGUGUUUGGUCCGGGUUGAGUAAUGCAGCUUCAUAGACAGUUGGUAGGUGUGUAGUUUCCAUUUUCAUUUGUUCAAAACAAUCAUGAGGAAUAUCUAGGUCACAGUCUAUGAUGAGUGGGUCUUCUCGGGCUUCUGUGUGGUACCUUGGGUACCCUGCUGUACAGUAAUUAAUAGUCUUUUUGUUGAUCCCCGUAGAAGUCAGUUGUUCUUGGUUCAUUUGACUCCAGGUCUUGGCCAUCGGGCCUAGGUCUUUCCAUGAGGUGUCAGGGGAUCUGGUGAGAGAUAUGUGUGGGAUAGCUGUUUCCCAAUGAUGAUAGAGAUGUGUCACAUUCUCUGGAAGAUGGACUAAGAUGAGCAUGGUACCUGUGGGGUCCCAGAAUAAGUCAGUCAGGGUAAUUUGAAUUUCCUUGAGCUGGAAUAAUUCUUCCUCAUAGUUCAUAUCAGGGCCUGGUAUGUCCUUAAACCAUAAGGUGCCGUGGAGUAGGGCCUCUGAUUGUUCAUCAUGUGGGGGUGCAAGUGCUGGCAGCUGCAAAUCUGCUCGAACCUCUGGGUUGAUGUCCAGGCUGUACCAGUAAUGCACAACUCCCCCCUUGGGAAGUGGCAGAAGAGUGGCUGGGUUCAGGGAAAGACAACGCUGAAGUUUCACAUUGUCAGGUAAAAGUAGGGAUGUUUGUAGACGGAGGUGACGUUGAGAAGAAAGGUGCUUAGGUUGAACUAGUUGCAGGAUUGCAGUAAUGUCAUGAGGGGCCAACACCGUGAGGUGGUGGCCAAGAACAAAAUCAUUAGUCUUGUCCAGGAGGGCGCUGGCGGCAAACACCGCUCUGAGGCAGGAGGGACUACCCCUUGCAACAGGGUCAAGCAUGCAGGAAAAAUAGCCAAUAGGCCGCUGUCUUGAGCCAUGUUUCUGGGUAAGGACUCCGGAAGCAUGUCCUGACUUCUCAGAGACAAACAGAUUGAAAGGAAGCUGGUAGUUUGGGAGGCCCAAGGCAGGUGCAGAAGCAAUAGCUAUUUUUAGAUUGUGGAAACAGGUGAGAUGAAAUGGCUCACUCCUGAGGGCAUCAUAGAGUGGCUGCAUGAGCUUUGAUGCUUCGGGUAUCCAGGACCUGCAGUAUGUGAUAAGACCCAAAAAGGCAUGAAGAGUCUGAUGUGUUGCAGGUAAAGGGAGUUGCAAAAUAGCUUGUACACGUUGAGAAGUUAGAUGUCUGGUGCCAUGGGAAAGACAAUGUCCCAAGAAGACCACAGAGGGCCGGCACCAUUGUAGCUUGGAUUUGGAAGCUUUGCAACCAGCUGCAGCGAGGAAACAAAGGAGAUCUUCUGAGUCACGUUCUGCAAUGAGCGAAUCAGGAGCACAGAGAAGGAGAUCAUCAACAUAUUGGAUCAGGACAACAUCUGAGUGAGAUUUCUGCCAGGGCUCCAGAACCAGAGACAUGGCAUGAGCAAACUGUGUGGGGGAAUUCUGGGCCCCCUGAGGCAUGACAGUCCAGGUGUAUUGUUGUCCUUCGUGGGUGAAGGCGAAGAGAAAACGGCAGGAAGGGUCAAGGGGCACACUGAAAAAGGCAUUGGCUAGAUCCACUACAGUGAAAAUUGUGGCAGUCGGUGGAACCUGGGACAAGAGAGUGUGUGGGUUUGGAACAAUAGCAGUGUCCUUUUACGGUUACUUCAUUAACAGCACGGAGAUCCUGCACCAUUCGGUACUGGUCGGGUUGGCCUUUAACAGUUCUCUUUUUAACAGGGAAAAGUGGUGUGUUACAUGGAGAUGUGCACUUGAUGAGGGCACCUUUGGCAAGUAGGCUUUCAACUUGUUUGGUGAUAGCUUUAGCUUGUGCUGGCUUCAGAGGAUACUGUGGCCUACGGGGAGGCAGUGCUCCAGGCAGGAGCUUGACCAAGACUGGGGGCACAUGCAAACGUCCGAUAUCAUCCAGGCCGGUGGACCAAAGUUCUUGGGGGAUAUGAUCCAGAGCACUGGGGGUUUGUGAGACCCGUGUAUUCCCUGUAUUGUCAGUUAGGAUCAACAAGAUGGGGAGGGAACAGAGGACAGAGGUGUCUUUUUGUGAUAAGGGAGUUGUUAACUCGACCUGACCAUCAGCAGUAAAGGUAAUAGAUGCCUGGAGCAGAGAGAGAACAUCAGCACCUAGGAGGUUAAUGGGGCAAGUAGAGGAAACAACAAACCGGGAGUGAAUGUGUGAACCUACAUGCAGAAGUUUAGUAAGGGGGUUACUGCGGGGUGUACCAUCCACCCCAACACAGGAGACAUCGGUAUCAGAUAAGAAGGAAGGAUCUGGCAGGUUUUGUUCCCUGAGAACACUACGGGCUGCACCUGUGUCGACUCCCCCCCCGCAGACACUGCCAUGGCAGGGGUUGCUGACACAGGCUUGCCAGUUACCUAUUGUAAUAAAUCUAAAUGGGCCUGAUCUGGUCCCUGGUACCGGCGGGAAGUGGAGGGAGGGUUACUAGAUUGCAUGGGAGGACGGGAUGGACGAUUAGUGUGGCGGGGCAGUGACUGACUCUCUUGGAAAUCAUCUGUGUCAAACCCUUCAGCGGGAGCCGAAGUGUAUGCACGGCAUCUGAUGUAGGGAGCCUGGGUGUAUUCAGGAGGAGGAGGAGGAGGAGGGGGAAGCUGUGGCAACUGUGGAUGGGGCAGGGCAGGGAGGUAACCAGUGGAGGGGAAACUAAAGCCGGUGACAUGGGGACUUGGGUACCGGGGAGUCUGUGGGCGGAUUACUCUAGGGUGUGGGCAAUCUCUUCUGAAAUGGCCGGGCUGAUUACAGUUAAAACAGGUCCGGAUUGUCGUGAGGGUCCGGUCCCGGGGAGAAGGGAUAGAUGCAGGCAGUGUCUGGGGUAACUGAGUGUAUUGUUGGGGGAGUAUCUGAGGAACCUGGUUAGGACUGACAAUUGGUGCAGAAGUAGUAUACAUCAGAGGGUUAGUUCUUCGCUGUGUGGGUUGCAGAACAGAUUCUAAACCCUUGGCUACCAGUAAAAGUGUGUCCAGUGGAAUAAAUCUGUACUCUGGGCGAGCUAAAAUCAACCCCUUACGAAUGUGUUCCCUAAGGCCUGCCACAAAGGCUGCAGAUAACAUCUGUGUGUGUGCUUUGUUAUAGGUGCUGAACCCUAAGUCUGAGAAAGUCUGAGUCAAUCUAGAAUGAUACUUUUCAACAGUCUCAAGCUUAUCCUGAAUUAUGUCAUUUAUGCAAGUAGCCUGAUCUGCUAAUUUAUCCUGUGCCCAAGCUCGGAGCUGCUCACAGAAAAUUUCACCAGAACGAAAAUCUGUAUCAGAAGUGAGUGGAGCGUCAUUAAAGCUCCGUUCCAUGAUUGGCCAGUAUGCAUCUCCAGCCUUUAUUUCACACAAACUUAUAAGAUCCCGCCAGGCAGCGGAAUAUGUUUUUCGAAUUUGAGCCAUGCUGCGGAAAAAGGGCAUGGGGUGUUUCUCAGGAUCUGGGAGUGAGGUCACAAGGGUAGCAGCUUGGGAAGGGUUUAAGGUAACAUACAUGGGUGGUGCACCAUCCGCUCCAUGGUUAAUCUGGGUAUAACCCUGGGGGAUAGUGAGCCGUUGGGGGAGCCUGUUCCCCCCUGGGCGAGGUGAAUCCUGUUCUACCACAACAAUCUCCUCGGGUGCUACUGGGCCACGGUGCAGAGUAGUCUCGGGGGUAGCUGUGGCGGGGGCGGCAGGGAGACCGUGAUGGGAGAGGUAGUUGGGUGGAAGCCCGAGGCCUGGGGGGAAGCACCCACUGCAUAGGGUUGAUCCGACGUCACAGACACUUCGGAUCCAACCACCAUGAUUGGAUAACUAGAGCUGGUAGGAGAUACAUGGGGUUGCUGUGGGGGCCGGCUGAGAUGGGCGUGAGAGGUGGGUGUGGCGAAACCGGCCUCGCCACGUGUCCUUGGAGGGGGCUGCUUGCCUGCCUCUUGCCUUUGGACUAUGGACCAGACUUUAUGUGAAGUUAUUAACCCAGAUAGCUAUGCCAUGGAGCCCAUUCGUGUAGUUAAAGACUUCGGCUCCAUGGCAAUUGAACUGUGUGAAUAGGAUCUGAGCGCUAUUCGGUAGUUUUGUGCGCUUAGAUCCCAGCUAUCUGGGGAUAUGUGACAUGUCUGUGUUUUAUGUAUAAAAUGUGACUUUAUGUAUUUUAAAGUGUUUUGUGUCUUUUUGCAACCAUGUGCUUAAUGGAGUCUUUUGUCUGUCCUGGGAGAUAAUUGAAUUACUCUCCAGGAUAGAAGACUCUGAAACUGGUUUGGGCCGGAAAGCCAUGCUUCAUUUAGUCACAAAGGACUUUCCCUUAACUUUUGAACCCCUGGUCUGAUUCGUGCCAUUUUUAAAUAUGUUGUUCCCCUGAAUGGAUUGAUUAUGAAAAUGUAAGUUUUAUGUAUGUACGAUGUUAACUCACAAAGUUAUAAAAAUGUACAAAAAGUAACUUUUCAGCUUGGAGAUAAUUGAGUAGAUACAGUAAUUGACUCAAUUAUCUCCUAAGCAGAGGGGAGGAAUAUGCUGGGUGUGUUUCUAUUGUCCCAUUGUGUCUGAUUGGCUGCUGUACUUGCAUUGUAGGUGUUGUAAUGUGUUUAUUGGUGGUUCUGCAAAACCCUGUGGGCAGUACGAUGUUUUGUGGAUUGUAAUAAAAACCAGGCUGGGUGUGCCAGCACUGGAGUUCCUGUUUUAACCCUCAAAGUGAAGUGUCGUCUCAUUAUUGGGGGAAGGAUUUAUUGUAUGCUGUUCCAGUUUGACUGCUAGGAGAGUAAACCUGUUCGUAUGGUUCCUAUUCAACUGUCUACAGCAUUCAUAUGCUUGAGAGGAUUCAUAUGCUGCACUGGUUCUUUGGUUGUGGUGUCUGCUGGAGUCCUCAGGAAGCGCUAGGAGCAUCCUUCAACGGAGGUACCCAGUCGGGGUGCCAGGCGAUCCGUUACAGUGGGUAUUUAGGACAUGAGCGAGAGCAGAGAUUGGAUCGGAGGGCUCGGGGAUGUUAGCGGGGGGCGGAGAAGGGGUUGGACGAUCAGGGGGAGGAGGUGGAGGAGGAGGAGGUAAAUCAGUGGGAGGUGGAGCAGGAAUCGCGGAAUUAACCAGGGAGGUAACCGCAGAGAAGAGGACGGAUAUCGAGGUAGACAAGUCAUUGGCCAUGGUUGGGUCAGGGAUCACCGGGGGAGGGGUCGGAAGGAUGGGAACAGGGGGCUGGGUUAUAACAGCGUGGGUAGAGGGUAGGGACGGCAAAUCAGUCGGGUGGGGAGGAGACAACGAGGUAGAGGGGGCCGGGACAUCGGGAGGAGGUAACACUGGAGAAGGGGUUGGGGGGCUGGGUCAGGGCGGUAAGGGCAGAGCUUAGGGACGGCAAAUCAGCCGGGAGGGGAGGAGACAACGAGGUAGAGGGGGCCGGGACAUCGGGAGGAGGUAACACUGGAGAAGGGGUUGGGGGGCUGGGUCAGGGCGGUAAGGGCAGAGAUUAGGGACGGCAAAUCAGCCGGGAGGGGAGGAGACAACGAGGUAGAGGGGGCCGGGACAUCGGGAGGAGGUAACACUGGAGAAGGGGUUGGAGGGAUGGGAACGGGGGGCUGGGUCAGGGCGGUAAGGGCAGAGAUUAGGGACGGCAAAUCAGCCAGGAGGGGAGGAGACAACGAGGUAGAGGGGGCCGGGACAUCGGGAGGAGGUGGCGGUGUGUGGAUAGCAGGAGGGUCCUGGAGGAUGGGAGGGGUGCCUGGGAGUGUUGCGGGAGGAUGGAUUGAAGCAGAAAGGGCGGCUACUAGUGUUGCAAGAUCAACGGGAGGGGAGGAGGUAGAGGGAGGGCCAGCUGUGGUGGUAUAUGAGGGAGCGGAGGCAGGGGGGCCGGGAUCAGCGGCUGGACAAGAUUCAUGAGAGUGGAGAGUAGGGAUGAGGGAUCCUUAGAGGAGGAAGGAGAAGGGGAAUGAGAAGGAGAAAAAGGCAGAGAGGAUAAUGGGGUAGGGGUCACGGGACAGGUCACUUUCGAAAGGCUAGCAAGGAAGGAGGAAAGGUCUGGGUCCGGGGGUAUGGGAGAAGGGGGGUCUGUGGAGGAACAGGGGUCCGGAGGAAUGGGGGCAGUGGGAUGGACAAGGGUCGAGGGAGCAGAGUGUGAAGCAGUCGAGGGGGGGUAAGGGAGCGGGUGUCACUGGUGAUGGGGUACUCGAGGUGGAGAGGGAAUGAGAGGAGGAGGAGGAAACGUCGGUGGAUGAGGCGGGAGCGGUCAGGACGGGAUCUUGGCGAGGUUUUGGAGUAGAAGCAGGCACUGGGAGAGGUGGCGGAGGACAUGGAGGCGGGGGAACAUCAACAGACGUAACAGGAGAAGGGUUGAUGGAGGGGGCUGGGUCAAAGGGAGGUUGGUGCAUGGGAGUGGGUGGGAACGAAUGAAGUGGCACUGGAUAGUAGUAAGCACCGUCUGCACCGAGUACGGGGCACAGGGGGGUGGGAGCUGAAGGCACACCCACGGGGGGUGGGGUCUGUGCUGUGACAGGGGAAGCAGGGCGGGAAUUUACUGUUGCGCUCUGGGCGCCAUCAUAGGGCGGUGGCCACGGGACAAUGGAAACAACAUCAUCAUUGUUAACACUCCUAUGGUAUACGUACACAGUUUGCCCUUCAAAAUCUAACUCUUCCUCGACCCACCCUUCCCGUUUCAGACGUCUAGCUACCCGAUACCAAGCCUCUGCAACUUUUGUGAGCCCAUUAUCCAACAACAACCCUUCCUUGUCUAUGAGUAACUUCCUCCAAAACUCAGGUUGCAAUCUCCCACUGGGCAGCAUCUGGAAGCCACACACCUUAGCAAUCUUUCUAAGUUUCAACAUUGCAUCUUCCCCUGCCCUUUCUUUCACAAUAUCACAAGCCAACAAGCCCUUAGCAGGUCUAACAUGUUCCUGCCCCAUCUUGAAUAAUUGGAGUGAGCCACGUGUUAGAGACAGAUAUACAGAGGAGAUACAGGGGAGGAGGAAGAGGAAUGUCUACAGUGCUCGACUGCCACGAGGACUUGGGUCCCGUGCGUCUUCCCAAAACGUAGACUAGUCACGGGGGUCCGCCCACCGGGGGUGGCGGUCACGGACCGGAGCGAGCGAGCGUGGGUGACUAACACAGCUCUGGGCAACAGACACAGGAGAGAUAAAGGACAAAAGAGAAGAUGAACGUGGCUACGCUAACGAGAAGACAUUUGCAAAAGUCACAAACAUAGAGAUGAGCGUAAACCCCGGAAUCCAGAACCAGCCACACUAUACACACACACACACCCCAAGGGUACCCACACUGUAACAACAAUUGAACAAAAACCACAGAAUGACAGAGAGUAAAAUGGCCAUGUACAUGUUAACACCACUGGCACCAGAUAUUUAAAAUGUGGCAAUCCCCAGCCCUCCCCCACCAGGCUGGUCCCGUUAUAACACAAGUACCAAUGAAACACUGCAAUAAUCAAACAAAAUACCAGCCCCACCGGCUGUAAUGCGUUCCCUGCCCGCUAGGCAGUCAAGCUAACAUAAAAUCCCAGCCCCACCGGCUGUAAUGCGUUCCCUGCCCGCUAGGCAGUCAAGCUAACAUAUAAUCCCAGCCCACCGGUUGUAAUGGGCGCUCCUGCCCGCUAGGCAGUCGCUUAACAUAUACGCGCUCCCACCAAGCAGGGCAGUCAAGCUAACAUCUUUUAAAAAGGGGAAAACACACACACCGGCCGGCCACACACAUUCGAACGAAUACAGGAGGCAGAUAGACAAUCGACAGGUUCACUUUAAAAGGCACACCGGAUGAGCUUACCUGUCUCUAGUAGCCUUCUGGAAGCCGGAAGUGGACUCGGAGACAGACCGACACAAAACAGGAGAAUAACACAGGCAACGGCUGUAUUAUGGAGGUGAUCAGGCUCCGCUUGUCCCACUUUCCGGAGGUCCGCUCCGGUCCGUUGGUUCCGGCCCUCCGAACCGGCCCUCCGGUGGGCCCCACGUUGGGCGCCAAUUGAAAUGGAAAAAUCAAUCAAAGUAUUGAUUAUUUCUUUGUGUAUCUGCCCCUGGCCAAAUCAAUGAAACAAUGCGUGCACGCUCCCUGAAGUAAUUCACACCAGACACAGGUUCCAGGUUGUUGAAUAACUUGAGGAAUGUUUAUUCAGAGGGGACGGCAGGUCCCUUUUAAAGCAAAAUUACAUCAUAAGCAUUGUCAGAGAUAACAUGGAAUAAUACAUCAAUUAUUGGUUAGGUGUUAAGUGGUCAUUCUAAUGCUCUGCCUACUGGGGGUGAUGUCACCAGGGCCAUGAAGGUCUCCCACGGUUUUCCGGCGCCAUCUUGCUGCACGAGGUAGUUAGUUGGUGUUAAAGGGAGGGGGAGGAAAGGAGGGGUUAGAAGCUUCUAGCAGCCAUCUUGAUUAAAACAUGUGUGCAUAGCUUAUUUUGUAUAUAGUGAAAUGAGUAAAUAGACAUUUUCAUUAACUAGGAAAUAUGUGCAGACCUUAUUUCCACAACAGCUUUAUAUUUACUUAAGUUCUGCAUGUUGGGCAUCUACAGAAAUCCUGACAGCUUCAUCAUCCCGUGUUUUCCUACCUAUGUCUCCAGGUCCCAGGACUGUGGGGUCCAUUAGCACUCCUUUGCCUUUUGAUCUGGGCCUAGGGGUGUCCAGUAAUUUUGAGGGCGACAUGCCAGGGCUAUCAUUGCCAGUUUCUGCAUGAGCGUCUGGGGGGUACGUCCUCUGUUCUCUUGCAUUCGCUUGCUCCAUUCUCUCCUACGCACCAGACUGUUAGUGGGUCCAAUGCCACGCCACUGUCUUUGGCUGCUUGCAUGGGUGGCCCCUACGCAUCAGGGUCUAACAUCACUGACAUGCACGCUCCCUUUGGGGUAGAUGCACCAAGCAGCGCUUCUAUCUCUAAUUUCAACCCUGUUAACCCUACAUUCACUACUGAUCCUACUUCUUCUCAAGCCUCUACUUCUACUGAUCCAUUCGCCGCUGUGUCCUCUGCCCUUGGAGCUCCCAUCUUAGCUUCUGUUUUGCAGGAGGUACUGAGAAACAUGGAACAUACCUCCCCUCGCAACGUAUCCAGGCGGUCUGCAGGUCAAGUUACGUUACCACAGAGGACUGAUACAGCUUGCCCCAUUCCUCCAGUGGCUGGAUCAUCUCAGGCGGGAGUUGCUGUUCCUCCGGACACGGGAUUGCAGGUGGCUGCGCCAGUCAGUGAGUCUUUUCCUCCUACACUUGCAAGUUUAGACCUAUCCAUUUCAUCUGACGACUCCGGGUUGGAGGAUGAAGGCGUGUUAAUCUUUCCUCUAAGAGUCAGAAAUUGAUGUUUCACAUGCUCAGGAAAUUAUUGCUAGCACAAGGAAGGGGGGGUCACUCAGGCGUUGUGGGCGGAUCUGUCCUGCACUCAGCACCGCUGAAUUCCCCCUCCUCUUCACUUGGCCAAGAGUUGUUGCUGUGCAGGGCAGCUAUUCAAGGGGACUCUAACCCCUGUUCUGUUUACUCCCUGCAUGCGCACCUCAAGUCCAAGGUGAAGGCGAAAAUUUGGGAAUUUAACAUAUGUCCGCAUUUUUUAACUCUCUUCUGAGGCUUAUAGGCUUCAGGAGAGAGCUGAUGGUGAGUCUGGUACAAAACGUCCGAAACGCCUAGAAUCAUUUGAGUGGAAGGGCUGUUUUCGGGUGCUGGCUUCCUGUCACUUGGAGAAGCAUCCAGAGCAGGCCAUUCCUGUCCUCAAGGAGAUGAUGGAUUAUAUUUAUCGUCAUUUCAGGCAAGGGGCAUGGAAGGAGUAUUUUUUAGGUUUAUGAGGCGCCUGGCGAGUAAUCCAUCUCUGUCCUUUGGUGUGCAAGAUAUGCACCUGUGGUUGCACUUUGGGCCAGAGAAGGUCUUGCCUCCUGGGGGUGGUGUUUUUUCGUCCACUGGGCUUCCUUGGGUUCCCAGCCUCUUCUGUGUGUGUCCGCUGGUUGGGACGGCGCAGCCUUUGCUGGCCUGCUCUCCCAACAUUGCUUCGGGAGGCUCCGGCUCGAUGGGGGAGUCCACAUAUCCUGGUGCUCCAUCUUGGUGGCAACGAUUUUUGUUCUGUUCCAGUACUAGAUCUGGCAUGGGUUGUCUACUCGGAUCUUCGCUGGCUUUCUGCUUGGUUACCAGGCGUGAGGAUUGGGUGGUCCAAUGUGUGGCCCAGGCUUCAGUGGCGCAGGUUUUCUUCUCCAGGUGCCACUUACAGGGCUCGGAAGAAACAGACUGGUAGGUUGAGCUGUUGCUGAGCUGCAUGGGGCAUAGGGCAUCCGAGCAUUUCUGUCAACCGGGUAGAGCUUUUUAGGCCUGAUGGGGUCCACCUCAGCUCUGCUGAUAUGGACUUUUUUCUUGCUGACUUUCAUGAGGCUCUGGUGCCCCAGGUCUAGCCCAGGCUGCAAAAAAUAAAAAAAUAAAAAUAUAUAUAAGUUGUUUGGUUGGUGGCAAGAGAUUGGAUCUCUUGUGGCGAGAGGGUGCAGCUUUAGGGCAUGGUGCAGAGAAAGAGAGCGGAGUAUCGGCAGCAAGGAGACAGUGGCCUGGCUGCGGCGCCCGCCUGCAGUCUGCAUUCAAGGUGGCCGUACCGAAGAUUAUCUCUUGCUGUCCUUAUGUCUCUGCUUGGGUGGAUGCAACUGGUGCUCCGUUGCAGGAUUAAGUUGAGCCGCAUCCUCUUGUGGGCUGAGGAGUUAAGCUCUCAGCGCCGCCACCCUAGCUAAAUUUGGUUAUUAUUUAUAUUUUACAGCCGUUCUGUUUGUUUUUUUUCUGCCAUGAUGCCAUGGUGAUGUAUUCAAUAAAUGCGGCCAGCAAUGGCUUUACCUCCCAGCAUGUUGUUUGUGUUAUUUUUUUCAAGGGGAAUGUUGGGUUAGGGAGGGUGUUAUAGGGUUAGUUAUUUGGCUAAAAUGAAGGGACAUAGGAGAUAUCCCCUCAUGCAGCCUGAGGCACAAAGCAUGCAUGAAAAAACUGUUUCAUUUUCAAUCAGUAUAGUGUGUUCAUGUAAAAAAAAUUUUUUAUCUCCAACUCUGUUAAUUGAUCUUUAAUCUUACACAGGAGAAUCCUGUAGGCUCUAGCAGGCUUUAACCAGAGUAGGAUAUACAAAACUCUAAAUUAAAUAGAAUGUGCAAUAAAAGAAGUUUAAACAUUAGCUCUUUCUUUACGGGAAAUAUGUAGAGAGAUUGUGUAGGUCACAUGCAGGGACAGUAUGAGUAGGGCUACAUAAACAUAAACGGAUUUAACUCCUAAAUGACAAAUAAUUGAGCAGUUAGUCUGCAGGGGCAUAAUCUGUACAACAAAUCAACUCCAUUCAGCUAAAGUUGUUUUGGUGCUUAUAUGUCUUGCUAAAUAUGGCUUGGCCAUCAAUAUGUGUUUUUUUUGUUAUUGCAGACAGAAAAAGACAAGCAAGGAAAAAACAAGACAAAACGGAAAUCAAACGUCUAAAGGCAUUUGAUGUCAGCUUAAGAAAAUAAAAAGACAUAGAGAAAUCAUGGGGGUGACUUAAAAAAGAAGACUAU